UUCUUCUUCACUCAUCAUUCUCCACUUCCAUUUUGCAAGCAAAGCCCGAUUAAACUUCUUAAUAUCCUUGACCCCCAAUCCCCCUUCCUCCUUUGAUUUGCACACAUUUUCCCACCGAACCCAGGCAAUGUAUUUGCUAUCUUUGCCCCACCCCCAAAGAAACCUCCUCUGAAUACUGGAAAUCUUAUCACAAACUGCAGUUGGUGCUUUAUAGAACGACAAAUAGGAUAUUGUGUAAACAUUGUUUGAUACAUGUGGUAGACCUUUUAUGCUCUUUACUAAGUCAAUCAUCAUAAUAUAAAUUAAUAAUUAAAGUAUUUUAAACAAAUAUUAAGAGCUUCAUGUGGAGUUUUAAAUAAUGACUUUAUCGAUCUUCAUAUCUACACGAUUCUGGUAUAAAAUAAAAUGUUAACUUUAUGAAAAAAAAAUAUGUUGUUUGAGUAAGAAAUUUUAAAGAAAUUGAAAUUUUAUAAUUUUAUGAGAGUAAUUGGAUAAGUUAAAAUUAGAAAAAUUUAAAUUCUAUCCACAAUUUAAGAAUUUAAAGUUUUUCAUAUUUAUCAUAGUAAUGUAUAUUCUUUUUGUAUUCUCUUCUCAACUUUUUUUGGACUGUCACAAACACUAUUAAUACUAAGACAUUGUUAGGAUGACCAAUUUUCGUUUGAUAUUAGUUAGAUUUCUUUCAUUGAUUUUGAUAACAUUUACUUUUUAAUUAAAUUGUUAGAAUUAAUUUUGUUGUUUUAGAUAAUUUCGUGCUCAAUAAUAAUAAUAAUAAUAAUAAUAAUAAUAAUAAUAAUAAUAAUAAUAAUAAUAGGAGGAACUUCCUAGCUUCAGGACCAAAAUUUGUGCAGAAACAAUUUUAUUUGGUCAAGUUCUUCUUAAGAAGGAGAAUUCAGCUUUAAAAUUCUGGUAAUUGCUGCAAUUCUGAUUAUAAUUAUGCAGAGCAAUGCCUAUUUGUUCUGAGAGUAUUGAAGGGUUUAUUUUAUUUUUUAGCUUUAGCUUUAACUUUUAGCUCUAGCCAAAUAGUGUAGGCAUUUUUUGGUCUGCUUUGAAAAAGAGUAGGUUGACAAUAAAUCCUUAUUGUAAGGGUUGAAAUACUCUUAAAAAGUCUUAUUCUAGUUUAAUUUAUUCACUGUUAAUAAAAAAUGUAAGAGUUUUGUUAAUCAAUAUUAAAGAGAUUUCUAUUUUAUAGAUAUUUUUUUCAAAUGACGUUUAUCUUAGUUAUUUUUGUAAUUAGAUUUGAAUUCUCAUAAACAUAGUCAAAUAUUGAAUCCAAACAUAAAAUUAUGUUAUUUUCUUUUUCAUUUAUAAAAUAGAGGUAUUUUUAUUUUGACAAAUUACUCUGCCUAUAAUGUAAAAUGUUUGGAAAGUAACAUGAAAGAUAUUUAUGAACAAAGUUUUAGGCAGUAGCAUGAAAAAACUGAUCUUAAUAUUUCAAAAAAAUAUCAGCUAGUCAUUUGACUUAUUAAAGAAAAAAGAAAAAAAGGAGGGAAUACAAAUAUUUGUCUUGUGAUGAGAAAUUAUAGGUGAAUUCUUCUUAUUUAUAUAUAAUUUGAACAAAAAAUUGAAGGCAUGAGAAUUUAUUUGCUGAUAAGUGGUAAGGAAUGACUUAGUUACUUAUCUUUUUAUUAUUAGAAUACAUUUCCAUUGAGUCUAAUCCCCAACAAUUGGAUAAAUUACUUAUGAGUCUAAUAAAAAUAUUAAAAAGUUUACUAUCAAUGUCAUCUAACGAUUCGUAAUUGAUGAAAUAUUUAUUUUAAUUAUUUUGUGAAAAUCAAAUUUAGGGUUAUUCGUAUUUUUUGUGAAUGGAAUACUUGUGUGAUAAAUUGGUUAAUUUAAGAUUUAUUCAUAAAGAAUCUUUUUAUUGGUAUAACAUACUAUCAUCUAGGUUGUUCUUAGAAUUCUUUAUAAAUAUGUAUAAUUUAUCUAUGUAUCAUUUUUGUUAACAUAUGCGUUUUAGUCUAAUCUUUUCAUAUUUUUUUUUCUUUUUUAAUAAUACUUUUUGUUUUCAUGCAAUGAUAAAUAAUUAAUGUUACUUGAUGUGUAAAUAUAGCUCUAAAAUGUCAAAUUGCAUAAUGAUGUUUAACAUAAAAGUUUUUAUUUAAAAAUUAAUAAAAAUAUUAAACACAUCAUUUUGUAAUGUUUUUCACUUACAUAAUAUUUUUUAUUGAAAUAAAAAAUAAAAUAAAUAAGAUUAUAUGCCAAUAUGCAAUACCUUAUAGGCGUUUACAUGUUACACUUUGUCUUUAUUUCCCUGCACACAUCACAUCCCAACUGAGUUUCCAAUGUCAUUUAACGACACAUGCAUAAUUCACAAUAUAACCAACAACAAACUGUUUUCAAACCAUAAAUUUUGUAUUUACCAUCCUAUUCGCACCAUUUAAUGAUUAUCUUAUUUAUUUAUUCCUUAUUUAUGAUACAUUUGUCCAAAAUACUUUUUUUCCCAAAUUUUUAUUAUGAAUUUAUAAUGCUGGAUUAUAUGGGUGAUCAAAAGUGUCUGUUUAUCCGCACUUUUUUUUAUUUUUAUAAUUUAUAUAUAAUUAUUUUUAAUAUUAAAAUUGAAUAAAUGAUAUUAUUAUUUACACACUUAUAUUAUCAGUAUAAAUUUAUAGUUAAUUGUUAUCAAAAAAUAAAAAUAGAACCAGUAAUAACAAAUAUGAAAUUAUAAGUAACUAUUCAGUAAAAAGUGAAAAAAUAAUAAUAUAUUUUAUUCAAAUUGUUUCGUAAAUAAAUUAACAGUUCUGCUGAUUGAAAUGAUUCGUAAAUAAAAUGAGAAACCGUUAUGCUGAUUCAAAAAAAAAAGCAACAAAUAGAAAAUUAAAUUCAAAACUGUCUACAAAAUAACGUUAUUUUGGAUAAUUCUCUUUAUAUUUAACUGUUCUUUUAAAAAAAAUUAUAUAUAAAAAAACCAGUUACAAAAUAAUAAAAAUAAUAAUAAAAUAGAAAUAAAAUAAAAUAUUAAUAAAAUGUAACUGAUUUUGAAAAUAAAUCAAACCUCUCUUUCAAUUCAUAAUUGUCCCUCCACAUCUCUUUUAAUUCAACACCACUCUUCCACCUCUCUUUCAAUUCAAAACCGUCUCCACUACGUAUACCAAAUAUUGUAGAAAAAAUAAGAAAUGACACAAUGACCAUAAUACAAUAAUAAAAAUAAAUAUUAAUAUAAGGAUAAAAUGGGAAAAAAAUGAAGAGCAGUUAAGAGGGGAAUCCCCUUUAUAUAUAGUUAUAGAUUAUAUAUAUAUAUAUAUAUAUAUAUAUAUAUAUAUAUCGUUAAAAAAAAUAUUAAGAUAAAGAUACNNNNNNNNNNNNNNNNNNNNNNNNNNNNNNNNNNNNNNNNNNNNNNNNNNNNNNNNNNNNNNNNNNNNNNNNNNNNNNNNNNNNNNNNNNNNNNNNNNNNNNNNNNNNNNNNNNNNNNNNNNNNNNNNNNNNNNNNNNNNNNNNNNNNNNNNNNNNNNNNNNNNNNNNNNNNNNNNNNNNNNNNNNNNNNNNNNNNNNNNNNNNNNNNNNNNNNNNNNNNNNNNNNNNNNNNNNNNNNNNNNNNNNNNNNNNNNNNNNNNNNNNNNNNNNNNNNNNNNNNNNNNNNNNNNNNNNNNNNNNNNNNNNNNNNNNNNNNNNNNNNNNNNNNNNNNNNNNNNNNNNNNNNNNNNNNNNNNNNNNNNNNNNNNNNNNNNNNNNNNNNNNNNNNNNNNNNNNNNNNNNNNNNNNNNNNNNNNNNNNNNNNNNNNNNNNNNNNNNNNNNNNNNNNAUUAUAUUUAUUAAAUUAUAUAUUAUUUUAAAAAUUAGUAAAAUUAUUUGUAUUUAAAAUGAUUUUUAUUAUUAAUAAAAUUUACAAACUAGUUUUUAAAUUGGUAUCUAGUUAGCUAUUAAAGUUUUAGUUAAUAACUAUUUUAAAUUCUAAAGUUGGUAGCUAAAACUUUGAUAGUUAAUUAGAUACCAAGUUAAAAAUUAUUUAUUAAUAAUAAAAAUUAUUUUAAAUAUUAAUAUUUUUUUAGUCAAUAUAGUAAUUAAUUAUAUUUUAUUUUAAAAAUUGAUUUUCAUUUAAUGAUUUAUUUUAGGGUAUAUAUUAAUGACAAUGAAGAAAGUUGAAUUCUAAAAAGUUAUUUUUCUUGAAUAUUUUCAGAACAAUAGUACAAUUAUUUUUAUUUAUAAGGGAUAAUUACAUUAUAUUUAUUAUUUAAUUAUAAUCUCAAUUUUUCUUCUAAAAUAUAAAAACCUUGGAGUAAGUACAUUUAUAUGUAUAUAUACAUACAUACACGAAUACUUUUGUGAAUUAUUUCAGCUAUCAACGAUAUUUUUUCUUUUAUAUAGAAAGGGACAUCCAACCAAAUUCCAUAACCAUGAGCAUUAAAGAAUGUAUUAAAUAUUUACAUUCACAGCAAAGUUUCUGGAUUUUUAUAUGUAUAUGAAAAUAAAAAUAAGAGUAGUGUUCUCCUCACUUUUUUUUAUCAAAUAUUUUAAUUUAGUUUGCCAAGAAUGGUAAAAAUGGAAACAUGGAUAUUAUUGCUGUGUUACAGAGUGAAUAGCAUGACUUGAAGACUAACCUUAAAAACCCGAAGGAAAGGUGCACAUCGAAGGGAGACACAUCAAACAUUACUAUUAUUGAUUGUGCUUUAAGGGCAACCAAACUGGGGCCUUAUUCCUUCCACGUAAAGCACAAUUUGUCUCUUCUUAUGGUUCAUGCACACCCAAAUCACAUACUAAUUCAGUUAGAGCUAUUUGGCGCCUAAAUUUGCAUGAACCAAUUGAAACACCGUCUCUUACUGUCACAUUUUCUCUAAGCACCCCAAUCUCUGUCCUAUUCCUUACAAUUUGUCACAGGCCCCAUGCACAACAUUGCUGCCAUAUAUAUAAAUUCCACAUGUUCGAUGCUGCUACUGCAACCACCAACCAUAUAAUGGGUCAUCAAGGAGAGUACACCGAGCCAGAUAUCCUAGGUUCUGUCAUUGUUGCACUCAAAGUGUUUAUUUUCAUAUUCCUCAAACUUUUCAACACAAAUUAUUUCUGGGUUUUACUUUUGCAGAUUUAUCAUCAGAGAAUUGCCAAGGUUUUGAGUUUAACAGCAGUACUUGGCUUAGUUCAACGUUGGACUCACAAAAGGUUUAUCUUCUCUCUAGUUUCAACAGUUACACGGUUGAAUUUAACUCCGACUAAGAUUUUAAAUUGCAGUUGUGAUAUCAAUGUGGUUGCAUUCGUUGUUUUCUGAUUAUUCCAUCGUUGAUUUGAACAACAGGAAAAAACUGAAAACCGCAAAAGGGAGUGGCAUGACAAGUGUAACAUCGUUCCUAUUUCGGCAGAGGAGUUGAAGAUACGAAGUGAGCUUGGAAUGGAGAUUGAAAAUGACUUGGAAAAAGAGAUCAAGGAGGGUAUAUACCAGCUUGCUCUUCGGUUGCACCGGAUUUACCAGGAGAGGAAGGAAAGAAGUGCAAAAGAAACGUUUGAAGUUGACAAUAACCGAGGUAUAGCAGUUUCUGAAGUUAACAUAAGCAUAAGAAUGGAAGGGAGAAGUAAAGUUGAAAUAAGAGAGGUGAAGAAUGAAGAAAAGGAUGGUCCUUUUCUACGGAAUUUUAGGCCACAAAAUGUGAAGCAAGUGAAGAAGGUUGAUUGGGUAAAGACUCUGAGAGGAGGUUCAAGCCCUGUUUGUGGCAGCAGAUUAUCAAGUGUGAGCUCAAAGCACAAGGGGAAAAAGCUAAGCACAGACCCUAAUGGUUUAUCCAAUUGGAAAAUUCACGGUGGGAGGGGAAAGAAAGUUGGUUCCUUUGGGCUAGUAAAACAGAAUGCAAGUGUGGACAAGAAGAUACUUCAAUUGGGGUGGAAGGUCUGAAGGGCUUGUUUUUUUAUUCCUGAAUUUUAUUUUGUUUUGUUUGCAAAAAAUAAUUUUACACUUUUGAAUAAUUUGUAAGCUCAAUAAAUUUUUAUGGAAUAAAUUAUAAAUGAUUCUGAUAUUAUAUUAAAAAAUAAAUUUUGCUUUCAUUAAUUUUAUGAAAGUAACUUAUAAAGUAAGGUAUGAAACUACUAAUAUAUUGUUAAUUUUAUCUCUAAUUUUUGCUAAACUUCACUUUUAAAGAAGACUGGGCUAAUUACCGCAUUUUGUUGCAUGACACUAUAACCUUGUCACAAUUAGUGGCAUGAGAAGACAAAAGGUCUCCAUGUUUGAGACUUGUAUAUUGAACUCUUUACCACAAACACCAUUGUAGAGACACAUUUUAUAAUUCACCUCCUUCAGUUUCCUCUAAAAUAUAUGUUGCAUCACAUACAAUAGUUAAUGCCAUCUUAAUGAAUUGUAGGCUUUUUUUUAAAAUUAACCUUUACAUUUUAUCACCUACUACCUAAUGGGUGAUAAACAACAUUUAAAUAAUCACUAGUACAAAAUGUAUAAACAACGAUUAUUUAUUUAAUACGAUUUUAGGGUUAGUUGUAAACUCGAUAAAUUUUUUUAAAUUAAUUUCAUUUACUAAUGUGCCUAUUUGUAAUAGCUGCAUUCUUAAAUCAAAACACAUGAUUUAUGAAUGCGACUAUUUAAAUAGUCGCAUUCUUAAUAGCCGCAUUCUUAAAUCAUUUUUUACCCUAAUUUUGAAGCGCGUCACUUACGCUUUUUCUUUGUUUAUGUUCUGGUGUUCCUCUCUUCAUGCGAGUUUCAUUGUGUUCUCGUACCAUUGUAAGUUCGUUUCAAUUCGCUCUCUUUCUUCUUCACCAAUGGUUUAUAAAUUUUUUUCAUUUCACUUAUUUGUUUGUUUUCUUGCAUUGGCGAAGGGUUCUUUGACGCUUCAUUUUCUCUUUUGUUUUUGCUCUCUCGUGCUUUCUCUCGUUUUCUACGAGCCUUCAUUGUCUUCUUUGUGCAAUUGUAAAUUCGUUUCGAGUUCUUUUUCUUCUUCACCAUUGGUUUAUAUAUAUUUUUUCGUUUCUCUUAUGUAUUUGUUUUCUUGUAUUGACACUGCUUCAUUGCCUGUUGUUUGGGUUAUUGUUAUGUCGUAUUUGCUCGGUUGUUGUUGCUGCCACCGCUAUUGCUGCCCUUAGGGUUUAGGGUUUUUAUUUUUAUUUUUUUAAAAUAAUUAAAUAAAAAUGCGGCUAUUUACCAUAGCCGCAUUUAUAAAUCGCAUUUACGAAUGUGGCUAAAUAGGCGCACUUGUAAAUCUCUUAUUUAAGAAUGCAUGCUGAUCAAGUGCGGCUAUAUAGCCGCGCUUAUAAAUGUAAAAUAGCCGCAUUCAUUUUGCCUUUCUGCACCAGUGAAGAUUAACUUAUACAAAAAAAAAAAAAAACCGUUAGUAUUCAAAAGUAUAGAUUUCAUGAACAUAUUAUUUUUAAGAAGAAUUUCCAUAAAAAAUUAUGUUAAUUUUUAGUAUCACUACAAGAAAAUCAUGAAAUAGAAAUCAAUUUUAUAGAUACAAAAUAAUUAAUUGUUAUAGUAACUAAAUUAGAGAUCAUUUUAGAGAUUAAAAAAUAUUUUGGUUUAUAAAUUAGUUUCUAUGCUAAAUAGUUUCUAAAUUGGUAUCUAAUUAACUAUCAAGAUUUUAACUACCAAUUUGGUAGCAAAAACUUUGGUAGCUAAUUAAAUACUAAUUUAGAAACCAUUUAACCAUAAUAGAAACUAAUUUAGAAAUCAAAAAAUUUUCUAGUCUCUAAAAUGGUUUAUAAUUUAAUUACUAUAACAAUUAAUUAUUUUUUGUCUCUAAAAUUUGAUUUUUAUUUUAUGAUUUUCUGUAUGGUGUAUAAAUAUCACCUAUGAAACAUUUCUACUUAAACCCUUGAGAUUUAUUUAUGUUUGUCAUGUAUUCUACAAUUACAUAUAUAUUUUACCUGUCAGCAAUAAUUUUUAAUUCAAUAAAUGAACGAUCUUCUAAUAUUAUUAAAUAAUGAAGAUCACAAUUUUAAAUUUAUUUUCCAAACCCAAUAAUAAAAAAAAUUAACUUGUGGAAAGUUAGCAAAAUUAAAAAUAAAUAAUUAUUAAAAAAAUUUAGUUACUAACUAUAUUAUAAAGUUAGAUAAUUUAUUACAUAUUAAUUUAUAAACUAUUUAUUAAUAAUAAAAACUAUUUUAAAUAUUAUUAAUGUGUGUAUUGUCUAAAAUAAUAUAUAAUUCGAUUAAUAUAAUUAGUUAGUUUAUAUUUAAUUAUUUUUUUUUGUAUAAUUAGUUAUUACAAAAAUUCAGUAUACUUAUUUUAAAUCGAUUUUCAUUGCUGAUACUUUGAUUACAUUUAUAUCCAUAGUAUUAAUUUCCUGUGGCAUUUUAUCAUAUUUUCAUAUCUUUACAGUUUAUGUUUUAUGAAAAAAAAUAUUAAAUAUAUUGUUAGUUUCUAACAAAAAUUGCUUUAGUUAGUCUUCUCUUCUAAAAAUAUAUACUGAUAGAGAAUAAUAAUAAUAAAUUAUCUGCAUAAUAUAAAGGGAAAAUUGAAAAAUAAUAAUUAAAAUAAGUAAAAUAAAAUAAAAAUAUAUUUAAGCUGAAAAUAUAAUAUAUUGUUAUUAUUUAUAGGACAAAAACAGCAUAAGGGGUCGUAUGAUGAUUUGAAUACGGACUAAAAUGUGGAGCAACCAACGGAGUCCUGGUCCACACAUUCAACGUCUUGUCUGUCAGAAGGGUCUUGCAUUCUAUAGCUCUAUCCUUGUGACAAGACUAUUCGUUAAAAUUGCACUAUCAUUAUACAUUAGGCUAUAUAUUUUUGUUUUUCAAAAAUUGAAAUUUGAAUUUAUAUAAGGGUGCAUUUAAACAUAUUGGGGGUGCAGAAUGCAGAGCCCCUGUGAAAAAUGAUGGGUCUUGGAAGGCCCGUGAUAUUAGAAAAGAAAGGCCAAGUGGGAUGGGAAAAAGUGAGAAAGGCGUGUUUGGUAAGUUGGGUUGUAAUUAAAGAAAUGCAUGUGGUGAAUUGGUAUUUAUUUGAAUGAUAAGGAAAAGAUAGAGUGAGAAUGUGGGGGCAUAAAGAUUGGUGUUGGAAUGAUUGUGAAAGGAAAAUAAGAUUGUUUGGAUAUUGGGAAGCAGUAGGGACGGAAGGUUUGAAGGUGAUGGGUGUAAUUGGUAAGGGACACAAGGUAAGCUCACAAACCCAACUUCCUUCCAAACUUUCUCCUUUUUCCUUUCGAAUCAUCAAUUUUUCCUUUGCCAAAACUUUCUAAUCCCGAACCACCUUUCACUUCACACUUUUCAAAUUAUUCUUUUCCCUUAACUACAUCCUUCUUCUACUUAAUUAUGCUCAAUUCCUAAACCCUAACUUCACAUCUUCUUUCAACAAUAACAAUCACUCAACAUGCUCAAUUAUUUCAUUCCAACUCUAUAACUGCACUGCUGAAUAUAUCAGUACUGGGAAAGAAAUUAUCAACUCUUGUUAAUUAUACCACUUCAGUUUGGUUUACAUUAUAUAUUCGCAAACACAUAGAAAUUAAAGGAGAAAUUUGUGUCAAGAUGGCAUCCUUCACUAACAUGUGUUUCCAAGAGUUAUGCUAAUUAACAGGUGUUUUCAAACAUACUUUUUAAGGAAUUCUAAAAAAAAUUGUCUUUUUAUUGAAUUUCACACUGGAGUUCAAUUCAAUGUAACAAUAAAAGUAUAUUCCAAUAACAGACCUUCAAAAAUUUUAAUCUUUAAUUUCUUGACUAGAGUAUAUUGACAUUCUCCUUUACUCGAAUUGAAAAUUCUUCUCUAUAAAGUUUUGAAUAUAUUAUUUUAUUUUAUAUAUGUUAUUGAUUAUCGAACUUUCAUGUUGCUUUUGGUCUGCUCUACCUAGCUGUACAAAGCAAUGAUACUUUCGUAUGUAAAUAUUCACAUCAUAUAUAUAAUUUAUCCUUAAGAACAGUUAUUAUUUAAUAAUAAUAUAAUAACGUAAAAUUAAUAAAAUUUCUCUAAUGGAGAAAAAUUAAUAACCCUCACAACGACGGAGCUUAAGAUGAUGUUAUUUUCACACAUAAUUUUUGUAUAUUUUUGUUCAUGUCAUUUGACUUAUUGCUAUGAUUAUUGGCUGCAGAAUUAGAACUUUAUAACUGACGUUUUUCCCGGAAGUAUAGUAAACCAUUUCUCUUUGAUUGUGUUAGCUAUGCGUGUUCAUUUCUCUUGAAAAGUGGUUAUAAUUAGCGAAGAUGAUGAGUGUGUGUUGCAUAGAAAGAAAGCAUGAGAUGUGGGAUGAAAUUAAUGAGGAUAUUAGAUGAAGUGAUGGUACGUAGUUGGUGAAGUGAAAAAAAGGCAUGGGUGGUUGUGGUGUGAGUUGGAGGAAGAAUAGGGUGAUUUGACGGGCAUGGAGGUUUUGGGAAGAGAUGGGAAAUGAAUGAUGGAAGGGAUAAUAUAGACAGUAUCCGUUAAGGUAGGAGAGAUACGGGUAUCUUAUCUCAUCUCAUCUCAUCUCAUGCAAUGCAAUGCAAUAACCAAAACUUGCACCAAAGGAUUACAUUACAUUACAUUGUGUGGACCACAGUGGAAGCACGCAGCUUUAACUGAUGCUCAAGACCCCCAAAACAAGCAAAGCAUCUUAAACGUGUAAUAGGUAAUGCCCAGGCUUUGGACUACUUAAGAAGCAAGCUGUCCAUAAAAGCAUAAUAUCCUGCUACUAUUAUUCAAACAUCUACACUUUCAUUCUUUCAAUUACCAACCUUACAAACUACCACACUUCUCCAUCUUUCCCCAACUAAUCAACCAGGUCCCCCUUUUACCAUGCACAUUAAACCUCAUCCAUAAACCUACAAACAACCCUCACUUUACAUUCAUCAACCACCUUCUAUAUCUACACUUCUACUCUUACUUCACCUUUUUAAGUACCAAACACAUUCUUAAAUGCAACACCUUCAACCAUCAUUCUUACACGUCACUCAGAUUCUACUCAUACUAAUAGAUUCUCUCCCCCAUCUCUCUCUAAACCUCACUCAUGCUUCACUACAACUCUCAUACCUGCUAGCUGCACCAAUAAAUAAAUAAAUCAACCUCCUGUCCCUAUUUAACUAUUUAUUCUCUGUGUUUAUUUAUAGUUUCUUCAUACAAAGCAAAAAUAUCCUUUUCCAACUCGAAAAACAGAGAUAAUACGGAAGGAAAUUAAAGUCACAGAAAAACUGUCAUGCAUUUCUGAAUUUACAUUUACCCCACUUCAGAAUUUGAGUUUUACAGCAUUUCUUCCCAGCAUAAAAGAGAACAUAACAAAAUAAUUCCUCUCAAACUUCAGAUAACUCACAUGCAAUAAAAUAAAAAAAUUAAUUACAACAGUCCCUUUCCACGCUCAGACCCAGGUCAUGAUGAAGAAAGACCCAACCACCAAUAGAAACAAAACUGGUUCCCACUCAACCUCUUCCCCCUCCACAGUGAAUUGAUCAUAUAACAUCUUAAGAAAGUGUUACUGAUUUCUAGCUCGUUUGAGAAAACAACGUCCAAAGAAAUUCAACACAGUGCCGUACAAACAGUCCAAGGGUUACAAACUACUCACAACUAUUCAUCUUACUUCCGAACUAAUGUAUAUUAUCCUUGCAGAGAUUAAGCAAGUCGAACACUGUUAAGAAAGUCAAGAAAUUAAGCUAAAGAAAAUUGAAAAUGCACGAGGGGGAAGCUGAAAUGAGGCACAAACUAGGACGAAGAUUUUUGUCGCUUUUUUCAGUGCGCGGUGUUAGCGAAAGACAUGAAAAACGGAAAAUGCAGGUGGGUGAGAACGCGUACAUUGAUACUACCGAGGAAGUUCCUGCUUCCUAGUUCCAACAACUGUCUUAGGAUAGAGUUAUCAUAACAUUAUAGACAAACAAAACAGAUGUCAUCUUAAUCAAUUAACCCUUCUCGUCACCUAUAUAUAUAUCUGAUAUCAUCAUCACCAUCCACCAGAAAAAAAAGGUUCCAAACGCGUCACCACCACCACCAUUGUAACAAACUGCAAAAGAAUUCUAACACUAGAACGACAUCAUAAAAAGACUGAUUUUUUGAACUGAACAGAAAAUUAAAUUAGUCCAUGGGCAUCAGCAAUAAUAACUUGAUCUAAUUAACUUACCUACCUCCUCAAACACUAACACAAUAAGAAGAGAAAGAAACCCUAACAAUUUGGGUGGGUGGGUGAGUGAGCUUAAGGGUUGAAGAAGUUUGAACAUCGGAAUUUGCGCACUUUACUAGGGCUUCUUACCGAGAGUGUGCUUGUUGUUAUGCAUCCAAACCUUGAGAACGUGACGCUUCACCCCGGUUUCGUUGCAGAAAGCUUGGACCACACCCUCGUCGUGUUUCUGAAUCCUCCACCCUAGUUUUUCAGCAAGUUCAAGCAUUUUGUCCUUUUGCUCCUGCGUGAACUUUGUUCUGAACCGUUUCUUGGACCCCGUUCCUCCUGCACUCGGGUUCGAAACGUCCUCCUGGUCCUCCCGAGUGCUCUGCGUCCCGCCGCCGCCGGACGUCGACGGCAGCGCUAGCGUCCCAGUCACGCGUGCCUGCCCCCCCACCUGAAGGUACCCAGUCGGGGUCCGGUAGUACGCCGCGAACUGCGGCGGCGGAGGGUGGUGCAGGUGGUGGUGCGAAACCAAGAACGGGUCGACACCGCCGACGGAGGCGCCGGCCCCGUCGCUCUCCUUGCGGUGAAAGUUGCGGUGGCAGCUGCAGGCGGCACAUUUGAGGGCGUCGAGGGAACCCUCCGUCCCCGCCGCCAUGAACUCGCCGCAGCCGUCGAGCGCGUGGCCCCCGAUGCCGACAGCGUGGUCUUGAGACACUCUCUGUAGCGCGCCCUCCCGGAGCCACCGUUGGUGCUGGUUCUGACUGGCUGCGCCGCCAUGACGGCCUCCGGGCCGAGCGGAAGCUUCAUCCGGGUGGGGUCGAAAGCUGCGGCACUCAUACACUGCUCCUCCUCUUGGUCCUCUUGAUCCUCGAAUUCCAUUUUGCAAAAUUGGCGAAAAUCUUAAACUUAUGAGUCCUAUUAAUGACAAGUGAUGGGAAAAUCUAAAAGGGGGUCUCAGUACUCUUCUCGCAGUGUUUCUCUCUCUUUGUUCUCUGCUCUCGUCGUGCUUUCUUUGUCCAAAGGUGUAUUCCUUCAUAUACUUUUGCGGUUCUCUGUUUUGGGAGGACACGACAAUUACAGCAUAAUAUACAAAACUCUCUCUCUCGAUUUGUCUUAAGAUCAUCACCUUCCACCGGCUGUUCCGGUCACUCCGUAAUUUGUUCCGUUUUCGUUUUUCACCGCGAUAUUUUUUCACUUUGCCUCACUCUAGUACUACUCUCAUCACUCCAGGACAACUGACAAAAGGGAUCAAUUUUACUUCAAUAAUAUAUCUCAGUUUUUAAUGCAAAUCUUUAUGAUACAGAACCACCACUCUCCAAGCAUAUGUGAACCUCUUUUCCAGUUUUCUUUUUCUCUAUGCACCAUUUUAUAUUACUCAUUUCAUACAAAAUUCAAAUCCACUCCAUAUCUUUUUCAUUUUCCUAGUAUUCAUAACAAGCUGGUCGUAAAAUUAUUAAUAUAACACACUUCUGUGUUUCUUUGCAUAUGGAAGCGAAAAUCAAUUGUGUGAAUAAGUGGGUUUGUUUUGGUAUAAGGUUAUUAACACAACACAUUUCUAUGUGUUUCUUCGCAUAUGAAGUGGAAAUUCAAUUAUAUGGGAUCCACUAUUUUUUAUAUUUUCUUCUUUAUUUCAUUGGUACUAAAUAACAUAGGCUUCAGUCACUUUUCGCAUUUUCAUUUCCUCCUUUUCGUUUCUUCACCAUAAGAAGUGGAAGACAACAAUAAUCUCAAAGAGUGGGUGUAUUGGUGUAUUAUGUUACAAGUGAAUAAUUAAAACAUUUCUACAUAUUCCUUUACAUAUGAGAGUGGAAAUUCAAUUGUGUGGGGACUACUAUUUUUGUUAUGUCUUUCUUCUUUAUAUCACUGCUAUUAAACAACAUAAGCUUACUUUUUCCAUCUCUUGUUUUUUUUUCCUUCUCUUUUUUUCACAAGAGGAAAACAACAACAAACUUAUAUUUUUUACAUCCACCAUAUUUAUUUAAAUGAUGCCAAACAACAUAAAGUUUUUUUCGCUAUAAAAAGAUUCUGAUAGUGACAAUUUUAAGGAUAAUGUUAGCUUCUUUGAUGAGGUUAAUAAAUUUAAACAUUUUUAUGUAGUCCUUUCCUAUAUAAGGUGGAAAAUCAAUUAGGUGAGAAUUAGGUGAGAUCUAUUUGUUAGAUAUUUUACAUCUAUUAUACAUAAUAACAAUUUGGAAACAAUAUUUUUUAUAUUUUUUUCUCUUUAUUUUCUAGUUAGAGAUGAUGUUUUUGUAGAUGGAUAAGGGUACGUAGAUGUUGUGCUUGCAUGUCUCAUGAUGUUUGAUUUACAACUCAUAAUGCGAGUGCUAGGUUAAAGAAUGAUGUUGUUUUUAUAAGGGUUGAGGUGUAUCUGAAAUACCUUCAUUUUUAUUUAUUCUUUUUUUAAGAUAAAAAAUUAUUUUUUGCUCUUUAUUUUCUUAUUACUAAACAACGCAAGCACAUAGUCACUUCUUUGCAUUAUAAUCCACUUUUUUCAUUUCCUUUUUAUGUAGUUACUUCUUUGUAUUUUCAUCCACUUUUUUUCAUUUCCAUUUCAUAAGUGGAUGAUGGUACUAACAAGUUGAAGGAGGAGCUUACUUUGAUAUAAGGUUAAUAAAUUAAUGCAUUCUUUUAUGUUUUUUUCACUUUGCAUAAGAGAGUAAUAUUCAAUGCAAAAUCCACAAUUUUGUUAUAUCUUUCUUUUGUUUCAUUGUUACUAAACAACAUAUGUUUUGUUACUUGUUCACAUUUCAUUCCCUUCUUUUGGCUUACAUCAUGAGAAUAAAAAGACCACGAGAAAUUGAAAGAAUAAGGCUCGUUUGAAAAACGAGCAAUUCACAUUUCUACACAUUUUGCAUAUCAAAGUGAAAAUUCAGUAUUCUUUCAUAUCUUGCCUUUUAGUUUCACUUUUAAUAAACGGCACAAGUUUCAAUUUUUUUUUAUUUUUGGCAUAUUCAUCCCUUCUCAUUUUCUUUUCAUAAAAAGAGGAAGGCGAUGACAAACAUAAUAGACAUUGUUAUUCUGAUACAAAAUAACAAAUAAACACAUUUUUUUUUUACAUUUUUAUCUCUCUUUCUCAAUCUUUAAGAACGAUAAAGAGAUUCAUCCGUUUAAAAUUUAUGGACUACUAUUUCUAACUCGUUUUGCAUAAUUGUGACAUGGGAAAUAGACCUGUGCUUCUUAAAACAAUUAUGGUAAUAAAUAAAAAAUAAAAAAUAAGUCAAAAAUAAUUAAUUGAAUGAAAAAUAGAAAAAAAAUAGUAUUGUACAGAUAAUAAUAAUAAUAAUAGAAGUAAAAAGUAAUCGAAAUAAGAAAAGUUGGAGACAGACGAAAAUCAUGCGACGCGCUUGAGCAGAUGGCAUGAGAAGCACUGAAACUGAGUGCACGCAUUCCGGUGGGUGAAACGAGUGACGUGGUAUGGAAGUGGUGGAAGGGGGCGCGUGGGCGGCGCGUGUAGUUAGGGGAGCUGAAGAAAAUUGGUUUGUUGUUCCCACAUAGGAGGGAUAAGUGAGGGCGGGGCCAGGAGGAGUGGAGUGGGUGUAGGGUUAUAGGUAGGAGGAAGCACCAUUGUACCUUUGCACACACUUAGAUUGGAUAAUAUUUUACUUUUUAUUUUAAUUUUUUGUUCCUACUUUUUCUAAUCCCUACCUUUCUUUUAUUUCUUAGACUUAAAAUUAAAGUCUACAUCUAUGAUUUUUGCAAAGAACAAACAGAAUUUGAGUGAUAGGUACUAGGGUAGUAGUGGUAGAAUGAGUGAUCACCAUUAUUAUUAUUAUUAAUAUUUUUAUUAUUAUUAUUACAUAAGAAAAUAAAAAUGUAUGUUGUCAGCAUCAAAGGCAGCUGUUGCUACGUGCGGUCUUCUCCGACAUGGGUCACGAGCGUUUGGCGUCAUCAUGCACUUACUUCGCUAAACUAAUUCAAAACAAGUCAAUACUCAAGAACUACGUUGCUUAAAAUAACCUCCUUUCACGUAUCAAUUCAUUUUAAUACAUGUACUCUUCUUUUAGCAAUUACUUUAUAACAAGCUUUUAUGGAAAAUUUGUUUGUAAGACAUAAUUAAAUCAUUUUUUAUAAAUAAAAUAAUAAUUUAUACAUGAAUUUAAAAAAAUAACAAAUUCAAAAUAUAAUACAAGUUAAGUUCUACACAUUAGUUUAUGAUUAAACUAAUUUUGAAGAACUUUAUUUUACUUUUUAUUCUUGUUUUAAUCUUUUUUUUUAAGUUAUGAGUCUGCGCAUUGUUCAUUUUCUGAUUGGUAUAUAGAUCCGUUGAUUUAUAUGAUGAUAAUCUCAUGAUAUAUUCCUUUAAGUUGUAUGAUUGUUUGUCUUAAGUGACUUUCUUUAAGUUAAGCUAGCAGAAUUCUAUAUAAACAUACGUGAGAGUUCGUGUAUAAGGGUUGAACCACUAUAAAGUAGUUCAUAUUUAUUCAUUUGUUAUUAUCGAUAAAAAAAAUAAAAGAUAAUUUAAUAUUAAAUAUAAUUGUAAUAUGCUUACAUUUCCCAUAUUUUAAAAUUAAAUUUAGCAGUACUUUAUAAACCUUCUUUAAUUUUAAUUCAUUGAAUUAAUUCUUGUAUUUUAAUUUAUAGAAAUUAUAAUAGUCACAAAAUACCAAAAUUGUAAUAUAGUUCUUCUUUUAAGUGAGAAACUUUAAAAACAUAAUAAUUACAAAAAUAUAUAUUCUAGAUCGGUUAGAUUAAAACUUACCUUUUUACAUUAAUUAUUAGUAGACAUUGAAACUUUGAUUUUUUACCAAAAUAACGCAUAUAUUAAUUUAUCAAUCAUUAUAAAAUAUCAAAAUAAAUAAUGUAAAAAAAUUAUAUUAUAAUAAAAUGCUAUUAUUUAUUUAAGUGACUUAAAUAUCGUUGACAUAGUGUGAUUAAUAAAAUUAAGAUAUAGUGGAUUGUGAUAUCCUGAAUACUUUUAAUUCUAUCAAAUCACGAAUGCAUUUUACCUUUCCCAGCUUCCAACUUCUUACUUUUGAAUAUUUAACUUGCUUGAUACGAUAUUGUUUUGUUCAAGACACAAGAAAAGAAGAAAAUUGAAGAGAAAUGAGUUUGGGAUUUUGAUAGUAUCAUUUUGAGAUGCAGGAAGCAAACAAUGAGUGAGCAUGUCUUGACCUUGUGAAAAAUAACCAGCCAUUGUCUUCCCCAAUCUCUAGGAAAGCACAACCAACCUUACUCAAACAUAACCAAACACGCAUCAUUGUUUUUCCUACACAAUCAUGUUUUUUUUUUUCAGAAUAAUUUUUUUUAAUUUUUUGGAAGCUAGGGAAGAAGAUUAUAUGGUUGAUUUGUGAUUGUCCAAAAAUAUCACUAUUAUUCAAAUCAAAAUACAAAAGAAAAAAAAAAGAGAUAAAAGAUGAAAUUAUGUUUGUUUGCUGAUAUUUAAUAAUAUUUUUUUUAUCAAUAAUAAAUAAAUAAAUAGAAGAUUUUCACUAUAAUUAAUAAUUAAGAUUCUAGAAUCACGUAAAGAAGUUUGAGAUUAUUUGAAAGAAGAAUACGAUGGGAAAAAAAUAAGAAUUGAGAUAUGAGAGCAUUAUAAGAAAUUUUGAAUUGAAUGCGAUGAAAGAGUUAAAGAAAAAUAAAAAAUACUCAAAUAAAUUGUUAGGUAUUAUUAACCGGAUAAAAUUUUGGUAAUGGGGUUGGAGAAUUAUGAAACAUUUAUUACUUCGUUAGAAAACACAAAUAAUUUGUCAACAAUUACUUUGAUAGAAUUGAUACAUUUGUUGCAAGCACAAAAGCAACAAAGAUUAAUAAGAGGAGUCUCUACCAUUACCAUUGAGGGUAAGAUAAAAGUUUUUUCGCAAUCAAGAACUACAAAAGGAGUAAAUACAACAAAAACAAAAGACAUAAAUUUUUCAUCUUGUUCCUACUCCAAAAAAAAUCACCAACAUAACAAAUGUUAAUGAACGCCAAUUGUAAAAUGCUAAGUUGGGAUAUGUGGAAAAUAUAUGCAAAUCCCAAUAUUCAUAAGAAAAUGUUAAGAUUGUAAAGGAAUAGUGAAUUAGAAGACGAACUACUUCUUGCAUUGCAACUGCAUUUGUUACAACCAACAAAUCUAGAAAACAUUGGCUUAUAGAUAGUGGUCUUUACAAAACACAUGACCUAUAAUGAAUAACUUUUGAAAGAGCUUAAUAAAUCAUAUAUUUCUAAAGUAAGAUUUGUGAAUGGAAAAUAACUUAUUGUCGAAGGUAUAUAGAAUUGCAAUUAAAAAUCAUUUAAUUGUCAACUUAAUUUUUGAUAUCUUAUAAAUAAUCGAGAUUAAUCAAAAUUUGUUAAGUGUUGCUAAACAAGGUUAUAAGGAGUACUUUGAAAACAAAAUUUUUGCUUUGAAUUUGAUGAAAAAUGAGUUUGUUACAAAUAAAGAAAAUAUAAAAAAAAGGUCAAAAUAAAAAGAAGAUGAAUAUUUUUUGAAAAAAAUUCAUGUCCAAUAGAAAGUAUACGAAGAACCACAUUCUAACGUCCAUCAAAAGUACAACAUGAAAUUAGUAAUAGACAAAGAAGAUGAGAUUGAUGAAAGAAGAAUUACAAUUUCAAAAUGAAUAAAAAAAAUAUAUAAGAACUAUGAAUAAAAAAGAGAAUAUAUGUCAAACAUUAAAAAAAAUGAUAAUAAAAUUUAAAAUUCAAAUAAAUAAAUAUUAAGAAAAUAAUAAAUAUUGAAAACAUUUACUUAAUAUAUUUCAUUGUUUUUCACAAAAAAGAUAUUAAUUUUUUAAGAUAAAAAUAUACUUGAUAAUAUUUUAAUAUUUAAUAUUCCGUUAAAUAAAAUAAAUCACAAAUUUCUCCAUCUAACAUUUCUCUAUUUUCAAAAUGUCAACAAUUUUUCCUCUUUCAUAGAAUUUAGUUUUUAUUUUAUUAUUCUUUAAUUUUAAUUAAAAGAUUUAGUGUUUUUAUUAGAUUUAUUUAAAAAAAAAGCGACUAAAUAGUCAUUAUUGUCCCGGUAGGACUACUUAUAAGAUGGGUUUUCAACCAAAUUCUUCCUCUCUAUCUUUUAUAUACACCUGCUUUUUAAUUGCACGCCCAUUUAACUUAAAUAACAGAUAAGCUUCUUUUCUCAUAACUUAAUACAUUCUUUUCGUUUUUUCCUCUGUCCUUAUGAGCUUACUUUUCUUUACAUUUUUACUGGUUUCAGUAUAUUACGCGAAGCAUUCAACUAACAGUUAAAUUAGGUAAAUCCGUUAGUAAUAAUCGAUCAUGCUUAAGAAAUAAAUUCAACAGCGUCUAUUACAUCGUACAAAAAAGUUGAUUAAUGGAUUAAUUAAACAAUAAAAAUAAUAAUUAGAAUUAAAAUCGUUAAUAUUUACCCGUGUAUAAUGUUUUGACCUGGGGGGCUGUAACCGAAACUGUCAUGCUUGAAGCUGCUGCUGCUGCUUAUGUCUCGACACAUGAACCUUUUUCAAAUUUAACUACAACGAACAGUACAAAAUUAUUAGAAACUUUUUCGAGUGAAGGAUUUUUUAAAAGUUAUAUAUAAAUAAUUUCCUCAUUAAUUUUAGUACUGUAGAAGUAAGAGUAAUAAAUUAAAAAAUAAAAUGUCUUCUUUCAAUCUUACUUUUGUUUGAUUGGGAUGACAUGACAGGGAAGUGAGUUUGAUGAAAAUUUUGAGGGCCAAUUAUCAAAUUCAAGUAUUAUCUAUUUUAUAGGUCUGUAUUUUGUUAUAAUUUUAUUUUAAAAAAAUAUUUUAGUGAGUUAGAGGAGAGAUGAGUAUAUACAUUAUAGAAAAUAUUGAUGAUAGUCUUUAAAAAAACUCACUAAAUAAUAAUUAGAGUGAAUUUAAUUUUUCUUAAGAUUAACAUUAAUAUUUUUAUAGUGAUAAAUAAUGUACUGCCGGAGAAAAAAAAAUGUGAAGGCAGUUAAUAUUAAAAGGAAUAUGAUGAAUAAAAAAAAAGUAGGAUUGAGAGGAAAGUUACGUCAACAUCAGAUAGAUUUGAUGAAAGAUGAGGAAAUAUAAGCCAUAAUGCAUGUGUUAACUAAAAAUAAGUUGAAGAUGCAUAAUAACAUAUAUAACAUAACAUAGCAAAACAAAGAAGAGAAGAUACGGAUCCCACCCAAAAUUAUUGUGUGUACUCUAGACAGAUCUCUGACUUGUCUAUUUUGGUUGAAAUUUAUUUUGAUGUUUUUGUAUAGAUUGAGAGGAGAUAAAAAGAUAAUAUUUGAUUGAUUUGGUAUUAUCCAUUUUUGUAAUUUUGUUGAUAAGAAAAGGUGAAGUGGGCAGUCUAAUCACAUAAAAAUGUGGGAACGGCCCCCAAUAAUUGAUGCAGAAAGGUCCUUGAUCACCACUCUUUAUUACUUUCAUUCUCCUCUCAACUCACAACUCACGCUAAUUGCAUCCCUUGUCGUUUCGUAUAAUCGCAAACUAGUUAAAAUAGCCAAGCAUUUCAACUUUCAAUUCAUUGAGUCAGACACACUUUAGCCAAAACAAGAUAAACGAAUAAAGCAUCCAACCAUCCUUCAUAUUUUACAACAUCCCAAACUACUUUCUUCUAAUCCUCUUACAACACCCUAAUCACUAACCCCUUCAAAACCCAACCUCCUUUGCUCCAUUUCCUUAUAAGGAAAACCCAUCCUUAACAACAUUUUUUUUCAUCAAUUUCAAAUUAAGACGAAAAAGGGUUUGGGUGGGAAGUUAGAGGCAUUGGUGAAGUGGUAGAUGGACUUCAUCAUGUGAUGCUCCAAAAACAGCCAAAACGGACGGAUAGACGUCUGAUGGGACCUUCUGACACACGCACACAGAGAGUACUCAAUCUCUUUGUCGUGUCGUGUAUGGGUGUUUCACAUUUUUUUUUAUUUUCAUUUUAAUUAAAUAUGUCAACAUAUUAUUGUUUUUCACUUCAUUUAACAUGUAUUACGCUGCAGAUUUGCAUUUUUAUUUUUCAAACGAAUCAUCAUUGCAUGAUAAUAACCAUUAGAGUGUAUAUAUUGUUUAUUUCUUAAAUAAAAAUGAUGGUUUGAUUGGUAUGCUCAGCGUUGCUGUUGUUUACUGAUAUAAUAUAUAUAUAUAUAUAUUUUUUGUUGUGUCAGCUGGCGGGAAACCGCAGAUAGAACAAGACAGAAUGAGAAACAAUAAACUUUUUAUGUGUACUGUGUUGUGUCACCUACCACAACCAUGAACCAAACCAAACCAACAACACAUGCACCACUCUCUCUCUCCGUUGAGUGAUGGCACAAGCCCUUUCUCCCCGUUGAGGUAGAAUGAUGAAGAAAAUAAGAACGGGACGGAAAAGUUGUGCUGUGCCCGUUGAGGUAGCUCCAGGGUGAGAGUGAGAGAGAGAGAAAGAGGGAAUUGCGGGGAAAAGGGAAGUGGAUAGUGACAAGACAAGAAAAAGAAUGGGACGACCGUGAUUUGCAUUUCUAUAUUCUCUUGCAGCUUUUCUCUCUCUCUCUCUCUCUCUUACACAGUACGUACUAAUAACACAAACACACACACUCACACACAUUCAUACACACACAUACGUAUACACUGAAAACUGUGGCCCCCAUACUUGAACAGAACCCCCAGCUUGCUUGUCGCACCACCAUCACCUCCAUCCAUUCAUUCACCAACAAUUCACCUUUUUCUUCGCUUUUUCUCUGCCGUUUCUACUGUUUCUUUCUAUGCUUGCAUAUCAAGUGUAAUCACCUUGCAUUUUUUAAUUCCUAAUAUAUAUAAAUGAGUGUUUGAAAGUCAGAUAUGAUUCUUCUUCCAGUGAGCUUGGCUCACUACGCAAACACACAGUCCUGAACACACAUGUUCUUUCCUUUUCCCCUCUGCAUCUUUUUCACGAAUUUGGGUUUUCUAUCCUAUACAUAUGUCCGCAAGCAAACCAGAAAAAACACUCCUCAGAAGUUAAGAAUCAUCAUGCACAUCACUCCCAUCUCAUCUCGUCUCGUCAUUGCACACCCAUCAUUAGGACCACUUCUUUUAUUUUAUGUCUCUAAUUCACAGAAACAAAGACUAAUCUAAUCAUCUUAAUCUUUUGCUUUCACCCACCAUCUACUCUUAAUCUCGCAUCACCUCAGGCUAACAAAAAAUAUACACUUGAUUCUUCCAUUAACUCCAACAAGGCUAAGCAUCGUCAUUCUAUUUUAUAAGGAUUUCAGUUCAGAUUGCCAAUGUAAAGACUUUGUUAAUAGUGAUUUCAAAACCACUUUUAUAUCAAGUAUGUUUUAACCCUAAUUAAUAAACACUAAAACAACAUUGCUUUAUAAUUCUAUCUUUUAACUAAGUAAUCUAUUAUCUAAAUUUCAACAAUGUUAUUUUAAGUAUGGAAAAAAUCCUGAAAAUAUAAUAUAUAAGUUUGUGCACUGAUGGCCCUUAAUUGCAUUAAAAAACUGCAAACAUCAUUAAAUGAACCACUAAAUUCUAAUACUAUCAGGCUAAAUUUUUCUAGUAAAAAGAGUUGGUUCUAUUAACUAUUCUCUCCUAAGUUCAAAUUCUAAUGUAUGCAAUUUAUCAUAAUUUUUAGAAUUUAUUACAUAAAUAUCCCUUCAGAUUUACCUUAAUUACACAUGCAUCCUUUUAUUUUCAGAAACAUACCAAUGACACUCCUCCCCUGACGAAGUUAAUGGUAUAACGAUCUUAAAAUUAAAAUUAAAUAUAUUUUGAGUUCAUUAUUGUGAAAGUCCUAAAUUGUUCUUCAAUUAAGUUAGAUAGAAAGUUGUGGAUCCCUCAUUUUGUAAAGUCUCUAGUUUGGAUUUUGAUUUUUCUCUCUCAACUUCAUUUACCUUUGAAUGUUUCUCAUGGAUUUAAGUCUGCAAUUUUACACAGAUUUGGGUUUGAACACCUAGUGUUCAUUAUAUACAAAAAAAAAUUAAAAUGUUGAUAAAAAGAAAACACCGAUUAAUAAGGGAAUUGAUGUUUGUGUUUUUCGUUUUCUAUUCUUUUGUAUAUAAGAGUUGAAACAUAACUAAAAUGUUUAAUUUAAUUUAAUUUAUUCUUGUUUGAUAAAAAAAAUAACUGAUUUAUUAGUUUAUUUAAGAAUUGAUGUAGUAGGACAAAUUAUAUUGGUUUCUUAGGUGUAGUAUAUGUGUUUUUAGGUUAGUUUACAACUAUAUGUUCUCUUCAGUUUCCUUCUUUGUGUUGUAUUUUUUUGUCAUCCUUUAUAAAUUCUUUUUUUUUUACACUUCAAGUCUUUAUAAAAAAAUGUACAUUAAUAUAUUUAGGUAUUACAUAUGUUUAUAAAACUGUGAUUUUUUAUGUUAGAAAUAUAUAUUACAUAGAAAUGUAUAUAUUGUAAAAUAGACUAUACAAAUAUAUAUUUAUUUGUUGAUACAAACUAUUUGUUUCUGUAUCUAGAUAAUAAUAAAUAUAUUUUUUCAGUUGACUUAGAGAUUUGCUUAUUGUAAUUGAAAGAUACUCUUUUUUUCUGAUUUUUUGGGAUUAUGCAAAAAAAAAUUAUAAUCUGAAUAAAGAUUGUAACUAGUACCUGUGCAACACACAAACUUUUACAAAAGUCUUAAUUUUAAAUUAUAAUAUUAUAAAAAUAUAAUUUUUUGGAUAUUAUAUUAAAUCUGGUAUUACAAAAUACAAAUAUAAGUCCUUCAAUUAUUAAGAAUAUAAGAUAGUUAGAAGAAAUAAAAAUUUUAUGUAAAAAGGAUAAUUGAAAUUAAUAAAUAUGAAAUUGACAAAAUUUUAAAAAAUGAGAUGAGACAUGGUAAAUAUUAAUAUUUUUGGGUUAAUUAUCUUAUUUUUAAUGUCAAUCACGUGAAAAUACGAAGUCAACACAAUCUUAAUAAGACAUCAAGUUACAACAGACAAAAUAUAAACUUAUAUGAGAGAAUGAAAAUGAGAUAACGUAUGUUUGUUUGAGUUAGGAGUGAUAAUACGGGUUAGUCGCAUUGGUCUAUCUCGCAUUUAACCCACAAAAUAUGGAUCGGGUUGAUCCAUUUCACAAAAGUGACACAAACUGAAUUUGUUGGUCUAUACUGUAUAAGAAUUUUAUUUAUUUCAAUUUUUUAUUACAUAGUACAUUAAACAAUUUAAUAUUUAUACUUAUUUAAGAUUUUGAAUAAUUUAGAAAUUUUAUGUAUUUUAACUUUUUAUUGAAAUAGUUCAUUAAAUAAUUUAGAAUUUUUCUUUAGAGUUGAUGGUUGAAGUAUUUUGAAAUGUUUAAUAUUUAUUUAUUAAUUACUAAUAAAAAAAAUAUUUAUUUGUUGCCUUCUUUUAAAGUGGUACAAUAUUAGAAUAAAGUGUUCAUUUUCUUAAAUGGCUUGAUUUUUUAAAGAAAAGUGGACAUACAAGAACAAAUUUCUUAAAGCCUUACUAGAGUAAAUUGCUCUAAGAUUUUCCAAAAGAAACUUAUUUGACAAUACCGUAAUACAAAAAGGAGAGGUAGCAACAAUUAAUGCGCAGAUAACGACCAUAUUCUGCAAGAGAUUUUAAUAAACUAAAGACAAUAAAAAUUAUGAAAUAUGACAAAAUCAGCCUCGUGUCCUUCUUUCAUAAUUCGAUCUACAUGUUUUGUACCAUUCACUAUUAUGGUAGGCAUUAUAGAUAUAAACAUGAGACAUAUGUUGGAAAUCCUAAAUAUACUAUGAAUAAAACCAAGCCAAAUUGUAAUAUAUUUAAAAACAUAUUUAAAAACUACAGGUCUUAAUAUUAAAAAAAAUAAACAAGAGUUUAAUAUAUGAUUAUUCAUUUGUAAUAAAGAUAUAUAUUUUUUUUUUAAGAAGUGAAGUUUAAAUAUAACUCAAUCUUAUAAAAAUUAGUUUGUAAGUUGAAAUUUGUAGUUAUUUAUAUUUUAUAAAUUAAUUUUAUCUUAUCUCUAUUUAAUAUGAGAUUUUCACAUCAUUCUCACAUUGAAACUGUUAACUCAUUCAUGAGACUAGAUAUUUAUGAGUAGUCCAGUAUUUAGUAGUGAAUAAUACCAUAUAUUUAAUAAACUCUCGUUAUAAUAAACUUUAAAUAAAUCUAAUAUAAAUUUAGAAGUGAAUUUUAAACAUAAUUUAACUUAUGUUGAAUUGUGUAAAAUAAAAUUUACACUAAUUUAUAUAGUAUAAAUUGUUCUUAUCUCUCCAACAACUUUAUUUUAUUUCUUUUUCUUUUUUAGAGAUACUUUUAUUAGGUAUUAUUAUUUGAUUCCAUCUCACAUGUCUAUUUUUGUGUGAUAUUAUUGUAAAAAAUGUAUAAAAUUGAUUUCAUGUGUUGUUUUAUUUUGAAGAAAUUGUAAAGAAAAGAAUGGUGCUAUAUUUGGGGUGACAGGGUGAAAUGGUUGCUCCACUUGCAUCCAGCUUGCACCAAAAUGGAAGAUACCCAGUGACUCUUCACCUGUUCUUGCGUGUCCUCACCCAUCCCUCAAUGCAUCAUGACCACCAUGUGUCAAUUUAUGACAAUCGCAUCAUCAUGUCCCUAAAUUCUUAAAUAUAUGCUUAUCUAGAUUCCAUUUCCUUUUAUUUUUUCCCCACAUUUUCUUAUAUUUCUACCAAUAUACCAUGCUGACAUCCUUUUGAUUUUCCAUAAAUAACGAAUUACAAAAAAUAGGAACACUAAAACUAUAAUUAAAUCUUAUAUUUAUGACUCAAUUUUGGUUUAGGUUUUGAAUUAAGUGAAAAAAAAUGUACCAAAUAGAUUAGUUUUUAGACUGUGUUGGCCGAAUUCAAACCCAAUCAACAAACAUUCGGUUGAUUGAAUUUAAUUUAAUUCAUUGAGCUUAAAAACACUAUUGUUUCUGACAUUUUUUUAAUUUCUAUUGGUAUGCUAUUUUUCAUUCUAGUCCUUUUUUCUAUUGGUAUUCCAAUUUAAUUCAAUUUAAUAUUCUUUGUUAAAGUGGAGUAGAAAAGCAAUAAGAAAAAAAAGGUUAAAAGGUCAAAACAAAAAGCAAAUAUCGUGUCCCUUAAGACAUCAGUAUAUAUAUAUAUAUAUAUAUAUAUAUAUAUAUAUAUAUAUAUAUAUAUUAACUCAGUGAGAUUGCAGUCCACUAUUUCACCAUGUUAUUCUUAAUUAAAUCUAUUUACUUAAAUUUUACUCAAUUAUUUUAAUCUUAGUCUUUAGUUCAAAUUUAGGAGAAACUGAAGUUUGUUUAGUAGUAUUAGUAUUUUCUAAACUAGUUAUUACUUUAUGAUUAAAUUACACUUCUAAUCUUGUAAUUUUGGACCACUCUCUUUUUAAUACAAUUUUUAAAACUUAUAACCGGGAAUGGCUUAAAACCUAAAAUUUAAUUUGUUUAAGAUUUGGCCUAUAACAUUUCUAAGGUUCUUUAAGUAAUCAGUUUAUGGUUGGGUAUCUCUCAAAUGCCAUCAGUUUAUGUUUGUAUUUUUUAUUUGUAAACUAAAUCACUAUCUUCACCACCAUUGCAAUAAAAUCAUUACAACAAUUAAUUUAAAAAGAUAAUAAUAAUUAAGUUUAAUACUUUCUAUAAAUUAAAAAAGUUAAUGUUAUUUAAAAUAAUUUUUAUUAUAAAUACAAAUUAAUAAAAUAAUUUAUAAAUUUAUAUAUGAAAUUAUUUAUAAAUAUUUUAAUUAUUAAUUACUUUAGAUUCUAAAUUAGUCUUGUGAUUAAUUUAAAAAUUAAAAUACUUAGUAACUAAAAUCUUGUUAAUUAAUAUUAGAUAACAAUUUAAAAAUUAUUUUAUAAAAUUUUAUUAAUGAUAUAAACUAUUUUAGAUACUAAUAAUUUUUUAAUUUUAAAAAAUAAUAUUUAAUUUAAUAAAUAAUAUUUAAUUAAGAAAUAUUAAUUAUUUUUUGUUUUUAAAAUGUAGUGAAAUUAGAUCUGUGUUUUUUCAUUAGAAGUCUAACUUUUUUAUAUGGUAAAAAACUAAUAAAUUCUAUCAUUAUUAAUGGUGAAAAAUCUAUUUUGUCGGAUAAUAAAAAUGAAGGGAUAUACUUUUUAAUAAAAAAAUAACGGAAACAAAUUAUUUAAAUCAAAACUCUAUUUUAUAUUUAUAAAACUAAUGUGAUCAUUAAAAAUUAAAAUGAAAUAGAAAACAGUUUUUUUAGUUUAACAUAGUAUGUCACAAAUUUAAUUUUAAUUUAAAUAUCAAUGGGAAUUAAUCAAAUUUAAGAUAUAAUAUUUGAAAUGUAUGAAAAAUAUAAUUAAAAAUUAAAUGAAAUACUCUAACUCACUUAAUCUGCCUACUUAAUCCAUUAAUAUUGUCAUACAUGUUCAAAUCAAUUUAUAGUUUUAUAAAUUUAGAAAAGAUAAAUUUAUAUACAUAAUACAAAAAAUAAGUAAUAGAAAAUUAUUAGAUAGAAAUCAAUUUUGGAGACUAAAAAUAAUUAUUUAUUAUAUUGACUAAAUUAUAUACUAUUUUAGAGAAAAAAAAUUAUUUGUUUCUAAAUUACUUUCUAUUAUUGAUAAAUAGUUUCUAAAUCGGUAUCAAAUUAGCUACCAAUAUUUUAACUACCACAAGUUUUAAUUACCAAUUAUUUAAAUUCUAAACUUUGUAGCAAAAAAAUUUGUGACUAAUUAGAUAUCAAUUUAAAAACUAUUUAUUAAUAAUAGAAACUAAUUUAGAAAUUAAUAACUUUUUAGUCUCUAAAAUAAUAUCUAAUUUAGACAAUAUAUCAAUUAAUUAUUUUUUAUCUAUAAAAUUAGUUUUUAUUUAAAAGAUUUACUAGUAGUGAUGGAAAUGAGUUGAAAAUUUUAAUAUGUGUAUAUAUAAUUUUAGGUGAUCUUUAACAAUUUAACUUGUGAAUCCAUUUAAAAAAAAAAAAAAACUUGUGAAUCCAUUUCUAAAAGUGAUGAGUUACAUUUUUCAUCCUAUAUUUACAUGCUGUUAACCUAAUCCUGCUUGACACGAAUUUAGAGCAUGUUAACUCUAAUCGAUUUUCUUUGUAUUUGAUAAUUUAUUUAUAUAUUUGACUAAAAUAUAUUCCAAUCAAAAUUUCGAGAAUGAAUAAAAAAUUAUUCUUUUAAUUAAUUUCUUAAUGUGAUUAUUUUAAAUUGAUUCCUUUAAAAUUUUUGAAAAAAAGCUAACAAUAUUAGGACUUAGUUGAAUGUAUUUUAUUUUUUAGACUAUUUUGUCAAACAAUUUUACACUACAUCUUUGAAAAGAAAAGAAAAAUUGCUUGACUAAAAAUAGACUUUUAUUUUUGUUCAACUAACUCGUACCACUACCCCACUUCAUAAAAUAAUUGCAUAUAAUUAUUUUAAAACCAUGUGAUUAUUUACCCAACUCAUCCCCAGACACGAAGAGAAAUAACCGGGAAAAAGUGUAAAAGGGAUUUAUUUGUGGUAACUGCCACUUUCAAAUGUUAUUAGAUUCUGAAAACGAUUUCAGAAAAUCAAAUAAAAUAAAUAAAUAAAAGCUAACACCACCAAAUGCAAUAAACCAAGAGAUUUUUUUUUUUAAGUAUUAUUAAUAUAGUCCCACAUCAAUUAAGAAUUGAAGUAAAAAACAAUUUAUAUAUACUUUUUACUCAUGUCAAAUACCUUUUAAAAACAUGAACAAAAUUUUCAUAGGUCUUAUUAGAAAAAAAAGAGACACACGUAUAUAUUUUGAAUGGUGUAAUGUUUGAUGUAUUAUAUAGGAAUAUUGAAGUAAUGGGCCCUGAAAUGAUAGCAAGUUUAGACAUAGAAUAGGGAGGCUAAAACUGGAGACAUAUAUAAUAUAAUGGCCUACAAAGUUAAGGUUGAUAGAGCACACCGACAUCACUCACCACGAACUUGUUACAAAUUUCGUAGGGAAGCAAAGUACCGAAUCAUUUGGAGGAAGAAGUUUGAGAAGAAAAGCAAUGAUUUAAUGGAACAGUGGAAUUGCAUACUUUUGGGUAUCACAAUGCCAAAAUAAACUGGUUUAAAUGGUUGUGCCCACUGUUCUGUACGAUAAAACACUAUCACACUGUUCCACUUCAAAUCAGAUACUAUCCCAUACAUGCUACAGAGCUACACUUAUAUUUCCUUCGUUACUUGGGAAUUUAAUUUACAGUCAACGGAGGAUGAUUUUGAGUUGAAGUUAUGAAGAGCAUGCAAAAAGGAAUAGUACUAUUCUGGACAACAAGUAGUAGGGGUGCUAAAAUAAUUUUUACACCAUUAACUUAAACCCAUUCCAAAGCAACGUCAGAGGUAAUGAUUCAUAGACCCAUUUCAUGAAUUGAGUUUGUUUUUAUCCACUAAUAUUGUUGAAUAGUAAGUAGGAGGUGAAGCUAAAUUUUGUUUGAAUUAUGUUUUUGGGCAGUUGAGAAUGAGCUUAAAUGGUUACUUUGCAUGCUUUUCCUAAAAUAAUUGCUUUGCUUUGGUUCCACUUUUUGCUUGCAGCUUUAAUUUCACCUAAAGAUGGAACUGUAAUAAAGCGUAAUCUUACGAAAUGACAUUCCCGCGUGCAAAUCAAAUAUAUAAGUGGGUCAUCUACACUUGCUUUAUGCACAGUUAACUUGAUUCCUAGAUUAAGACAUUCACUGUUUAUACUUAUAUCACAUUUCAUAACUCCCAUUCAAAAAGUAAACAACAUCAUUUACACAGCACUUCAUUCACUUAAACCAUAAAUUCUUUUAAGACAUUACUCACUAUCAACUUUCCUUUCAUGCUUUACAUCUGUUAUAAACUACAUGUUAGAAAUUUCAUGUUUCUCAUCUCUUAAUCUUUUAUAUAGAUUUUAUAGCAUCAUGAGUUCGAUAAUACAUAUAAUUAGGUCAUCUACCUAUAUUCAUAUCAGACAAUAAUGUAUUAGCACAAAUCAAAAGAUCUUGAGUAAAUGGUAAUAUCAAAACCCAAAACAAAAGAAAUAUGAUGAAUGUAUAUAUAUAACAGAGAAUACACUAAAGAAAAAACACAUCACUUACUAAUCGAGAUUGAGAGUCCAUUCACUCUUAACAACACUAAAUAUUUUAGGUUUGAGAUCGCCGAUACUCUUAUCUGAAACAGUUUUAUUUAUAAUUUUUAAAUAGCCUUCGAGAAGUAUGAUUUAACUUAAUUAUUGACUUUAACGAAGGUGUCUCCAUUGUGGUGAAUCCUAUACACUUUUCUUCUUUCAUUUCUGCCUUUAGUAUGAUAAGAAAAUGAGUUUGGGGUUGAAUUAAAAAUGGAAGAAAGCAUGGAUUACGGGCCUGUGAAUUAAUCUAAGGCCAUAGUAGAUUGUGGUCCACCUGAGGUAUAGGCCAGGACCCAAUUUCUUGAGAUAAUAAAUUUGUAUUAAGCUUGAAAGACACAUCACCACCAAGCCCUAAACACCGGCCUAUAGAUACAUGUGUUUUUUCCACUGAGAGAGAGAAGCACUUCAAUUUUCAAACACCACCAACAUUUAUUUAGGUAAGAAAAUUGAUUAGAGGAUUAAACCGGGCGUGUAGGAGGGGAAACAAAGGAAAAAGAAACAAGUAAUGAUUAGUGAGUGCCCCACUAGGGAAAUUUUGAAGGAUUCACUCUUAAUUAAACGUCUUUUUCACAUUGAGAACUAAUUAUAUUUAUACAUAGUUGUAGAAAAUUAAGAAAAAUAUUGUUUUACUUUCAACUUUGCCUCUCUGUUCUCCAUUAUUUACAUGUGAGAAGAAGAUAGCUGUAUACCAUUGGAAUUUGGACGAGGAAAGACUUGAAUGAAUGUAUAAAUUCUUGUACUAAUUGGAAUCGAACAAAUUAUGGUUAGUAUUUGAUGAGUCAUGUUAAUUGAUUUUAGUAAUCGAUCGACUGAAUGAAUCUUCAUUCAAAGUAGUUACGAUAAACAGUUUAAGACAGUUGUAAGAAUUUUUUAAGAAUUUAGAAUACAUUCUACCAAAUUCAGAUAACACUCCUGUAAAUCAAGAACUUUUCUAAAAAAUGAGCUAAUGCUAAAAUAUGAUAAAUUUGACUCAUUACAACAAACUACAAAUGUGUAAGGUACGAUUUUAAUACCUUCUUAAUUUAUAUUUCGUAUACUAAGUACUUACUUGAUUGUUUGAAUAUUUUUUUCAGAUCAAUAUACAAGACUUAGAAUAAAAAAUAAGAAAACAACCUAACAACCAACUCGUUAACAAUUCAACAACCAAUUUCAGAUAUUAUUUAAAUUUAUUUUAUCUAUACAAUUCUUAAUAGCUAUAUCUAACUUUUUUUUUUUUUUGGAUCUCUUGACCUUGAUCAACAAGUUUUACAACCUUUGGAAUCAUCGAGACCUAGAUUGAAAACAAAAACAAUGAAUAGGACGAUGAAGAUUAUGUCAUCUCCUUCGAAAUACCAAAAACAUUUUCUGAGACUAUAGCGUUCGAGUGAGUGUAGUUUAUUUGGAAUAAUUUUUCUUAAAAUUGGGUUAGACAAGUCAAUUUGAAAUUGAACUAUAACUUUUCUAGCUCAAUUUAUCCCUUACCAGAUUAAGGGUCAAAAAAACCCUGCAUAUGGAUCAAUAAUAUUUUUACAGCCUACACAGAAUGGAUCCAUCAUUUCUUACACUAUAAAAAAUAAAUAUUAUUAAUAUAAAUUACCUUUUAUAUGAUAAGAUAAUAAAAUAAUUUCACUUAAUUAAGUUUUAAGUUAUUAUAAAUUUAGACAUCUUUAAUUAAUUUUUAAUUACAAAUUUUCGUUCUAUUGAAUAUUAAAAGUAUUUUUUUGUUUUUAUUUAAAUAUUUUUUCAUUUAAUUAUGUUGCCAACUAGAUAAUAUAACGGUUACUUCCGUCUUCUCGUUUCUAAAAAUAAAUAAGUGAUUGCGUGACGACAAAAAUUAAGAAAUAAGAUACUUAGACAAAAAAUGAAAAAAAUAUUUUAAACACUUAAUUAAUAUAUAUAUAUAUAUAUUAAAUUAAAAUACUUAAAUUUAUAAGAUACUGAAAAUUUAAUUAAAUAUAUAUUUUUAAUGUUGUGCAGAGGUGUCUAUUCUUUUAUUUUUUUUUCAAUAAUAAUAUAAAUAAUCGCCAAAAUAUUUAUCAGACAUUAAAUAAUGAUUAAUGUAUUAAUGGUGGUACUUGUAUAUAGUAAAAGAUCUAUUUUAUUAGUGAGAACUUAAAUCAUCUUUAAAAUUAUUUUUUCAAUUCUGCUUUAAUCUUUCAAUAACUUUUACCUAUUAUCGCUAAAAAAAUUUAAAAAAUGAAAAGAUUUAACAAAAGAUUAAAUAUUAUCUUAUGAAAUAAAUUUUAUAAAAUUUAGUUAAAUUUAAUUUUUUUAAUAUGAUAUAAAGUUAUUAUAUAGUAGUGUUUGCUGGAAGUUGAAACUUGUGUCAUCCAUUACUAAAUUCUCCUAAUUUAAUGUGAGAUGUCCAAUACUAAAUGUAAAAGUGUAUUGAUCUAUUAUAUUUAUUUUAUAGAAUAACUCCAAUAAAUUGAUUGAACCUCAAAAUAUUAUGUACAACUAUUUAUUUAUUUCUCAUAAUAUUUAAUAUUAAUGAAUAACUCAAUACCCAUUGUGACACCAUCCUAUGAAUCGUGUGAAUGAAACCCAGCAGAGUUUCAAGAUUAUUGCCAUCUGCAACAAAGAAGAAACAAAUCAAAUCUCAAAAUUCAAUGAAAUUGUACGCUUAACCAAUACUAAUUAAAUGGUAACAAUGAACAAAAUUACUAAUUAAAGUAUGAGAUACCACUAAUCAAGUUUUGAAUUCGUAUGAACUUCACGGUGGUAAAUCACUACAUGAUCCUGAAAUGCUUCCAACAAUGAAACUUUGAUGAAGAUCGAGUGAUGAUUUAUUUAUAUGAGAUUUUCUAAAUCUCAAAUAAGAGUUUAAAGAGAUAUGAGAGGGAUUAAAUGAGUACAAAUGUAUUGAGUUGAAUUGAGUAAUUUCUGAAAUUAUAUUUAUAAGUUUUUGGUGUUGUUAAAAUAUAAAAUAUUUAAUUAAUUUAUAUAUGUUGUCGAAUAUCAAGUCAAUUUCAACAUAGAAGUUAGUUUUUAAAGGUGUCCUAUUUAUUCAGACAUGGAGGUACUUAAUGUCUAUUAUUGCAAGUGAAUAUUAUAUUCUUAGUAUUUUUUUAUACUGGAUAUCUCUAAUAUGGAUAUUAUAUUCUUAUUAUUUUUUAAUUUUGGAUAGUACACAUAUUUUACUUUAAUAAAAAAUAUCAUAACAUCUAAGUUAAAAUAACUCCACAAAAUUUAACAAAAUCAUAUAUCGAUAAAUGAAAAAAUGUAUAAAAAAAAUAAAAAAAUAUGAGAGAAACCAAACUCAUAUAAAAGAAACAAACAAUAAUCCAAAAUAAAAGACUAUACAAAUUUAAAGUCUAAGCUCGUGUUUGGAUUGGGGGGUGGCACUGUAGUCACAGACGAAAGUGGGGUGUCACCCCGUUUGGAUCUGUUGAUGGUGGAGGGUGUGGGUGAGGGUGAGGGGAAAGUUGGGCCGAAUGAGAGAGCAUUCAGAAGUGAAGAGAAAGGAGAGGGAGAGGGAGUGAGUGUCAAGUAGGAUGAGUGCAAUGUCAUUUGUGCCUUCACUAGAUUUUUUGACGUAUUUGGACAUUGGACAUGAAGCAUGCAUGCGCAUAACACUGUGAAGAGAAGCUUUUCAGCAAGCACAGGAGAUUCCUGACCAUUGUUCAGGAUUCUCUUUGACCAACUUCAAAGCUCAAUGAAUGCAUAGCCAAGUUGGUGAGAGAGUGGAUGAGCGUAAUAAAGAGGUGCAGCAGUAUAUAUGUGGUUCCCAACCUCACAAACCUCACACAGUUGAGGCAAUUCAGUUCUUCACAAAGCACAUACCUAGAGAGCUUGGAGAUGGUCAUGAGUAAGCAUAGUGAUAGGAGAUUGCACUUGGUUCUUUGUUUGUGACCUCAGGUGAGCUGUGUGUGAGUUUAUUUUCAUUAUUAACUGAUUAUCACUGAAAAUGAACGUAUGCCAUAAUCGAUUAUGUGAAAAAAAAAGAGUUGAUAAUUGAUGAAUAUAUAUUUAUUCACACACAAUAGCCUUAAUCAUAGAUUAUUGGACUAUAAUAAUAAAUAAAUUCAUUGUUUUAAUUAAUAUUCAUAUAAUUGGUAAUUAAUAUUAUCUUUGGUAAUUUUGUGUUUUUAGGGUAAAUUAUCUGAAGCAUCUACCUUUGUGAAUGAGCCAAACAUGCAAAAGUCCAAGUUGCUUAUUUGAAUAAAAACAAAAAAACAAAUUCUGAGGAGAAGAAAGAGAAAAUAAAAGCUACAAGAUUCCAGAAACAGAAUUGGAAGCAAAUCUUCUGUAAAAUAAAAAGAAUUAUGGAAAGUGGAAACUGUUUAGAAAAUCUUAAGUGCAAUAUUUUCCCAAGAUCCUUGGAGCAGAAAAGUCUAUAAAAGGACACAAGCAUGAAGGAGAAAGGGAGAGAGCUUCAUAGGGUUUUCUUAGUUUCUUUUCUUCUUUGUAAUUCUUUUGUUUUGCCUCCGCAUGGAAGGUUAAACCUUUUUGGUUGAUUCUUUUGUAAUUCCCCAUUAAGUUCUGAGGUUUUUAUUCAAUAAAAGUUUCAUUUUUCAAUUUUUUAUAACAAUUGUUUUUAUUGUCUAAUCUUCUGGAAAACUAGUUUUUGUGAGAGGUUGUACUUGAACGCAUGAUUGAGAGUCUUCCUUAUCUUAAACUUUGGUUUCUUAGUUAGUUCUCAUUGUUCUAAUUAAUUUCUUGGCGCAUGAUUCAAGAGAGAGGAUAUAAGCAUUCCUAUGGAGUAUACGCAUGGAACAAAAUGUCUAUUGAUUAAACCAGUAGACGCAUGCUUUACUGGUGAGUUUCAGUUGAAUCAGAUCGGCGCAUGUUCAAUCUGGUUUAGCUCUGUUGGAGGAUUGAAAAAAUAUUAAUCUUUAGAGAACCUGUGAAGAAUUCAAUGGUGGAAGAACUUGGGAUCAACCACUUUUUUAUUUUCUAUUUCAAUCUUUUUUAUAUUUUUCUUGUAGAUAGAUUUUGAAUUCGGUUAACUGAAUCACUAUUGGAUUCGUUGGGAGACAACUUAGGGUCAUCUCUCUGGUGUUAGACAACUCUACGCUAGAUUCAUAUUAAUUUGACAGCAAAACGACAACUAUAAAUAAUCGAGCAUAAACAUUUGGAUAAUCGAUUAUGAUUUUAAUUUCCCAGAUUUUUUAUUUUCUGUUUUUUGAAGUAAUUUUUGCAUGAUUUUUUUGGAUUGUGUUUUUUUUUUAAAUUGUGUUUGGAUGUUUAGUUUUAUUUUGAAUUUAAUUUGUUUAAAUUAUUUUAAAGUACUUGUUAAUUAGUUUUUGUUAAUUAGUUUUUAAUUUUAGAUGUGAAUGUUUAGGAAAAUUGAUUAUCUAAGAUUUAUAUUGUUAAUGUAAAAAUUUCAUGAAAUUUAAAUAUAGAAUUUUUGUAACAUGAAUUGAAUUGAAUUUAUAGAUUGAAAUUAGAGAUCUAAAUCUGUUAUUUUAAAAUAUUGUUAUUAAAAAAAUUAUAAAAAUUGUUACAGUAAUUUAAAACAGAAAAAUCAAAUAUACAGAAGAUUUUUUUAACAUUGUUAAAUAAAUUUAUGAAUGUAUACAUAGUAAUUUUUUUUUUAACUUUGAAGCUGUUAAUAAAAUAAUUUUUUUGAUUUAAACUUACAGAAUAGACUAUUUUUUAGAAAUUAUUAUUUUUACAGAAUGUAAAUAUAAUUUUUAAAACAAAUAUUGUAUUAAUUAAAAAAACAGAAAAAGAUUACAUAAUAAAUUAGAAUUUUUAAUAAUAUGUGUACAUAGUUACUAUUUUUUGAACAUUUAAUUCUUUAUAAAAAAAUAUAUUUAUUUAUUUGAAAUGAUUAUUUUUACUUAAUGGAAAUAAAAAUUUUGAAUGCUAUAUUUUAUAAUUUUGGACAUUUUACAUACACAUAUCAUAAAAUACAUAUAAUUUAUUUGUCAUAGUUUACAUAAAUUGUUAAUGUUAUUAUAAAAAAAUUAAAAUAAAUAUUGUAGUAAUUAAAAAGAACAGAAAAAGAUUACAUAAUAAAUUCAAUUUUUUAAUAAUAUAUGCAGAUAUUUAAUAUUUUUUAACAUUUAAUACUUUAUAAAAAAACAUUUAUUUAUUUGAAAUUAUUAUUUUUACAGAAUGUAAAUAUAAAUUUUUAAUGUUAUUUUUUAAAACAAAUAUUGUAUUAAUUAAAAAACAGAAAAAGAUUACAUAAUAAAUUAGAAUUUUUAAUAAUAUGUGUACAUAGUUAUUAUUUUUUGAACAUUUAAUUCUUUAUAAAGAAAUAUAUUUAUUUAUUUGAAAUGAUUAUUUUUACAUAAUGUAAAUAGAAAUUUUGAAUGCUAUAUUUUAUAUUUUUUUUGAUAUUUUACAUACAUUGUCAUAGUUUACAUAAAUGGUUAAUGUUAUUAUGAAAAAAUUAAAACAAAUAUUGUAGUAAUUAAAAAGAACAGAAAAAGAUUACAGAUUUUUUAAUAAAUUCGAUUUUUUAAUAAUAUGCGUAGAUAGUUAAUAUUUUUUUAACAUUUAAUGCUUCAUAAAAAAACAUUUAUUUUAUAAUUCAUUUUAAUUUUAUAUUAAUUUUUAAGUUAUAAUUGAAACUUACAAUUAUUUUAAUUAUCAAAAUUAUGUACAAAAUUAAUAAUUUUUUUUAUACAUAUGGAUAAAAGUAUACUUUAUUAUAUAUAACAUAAAGUAAUUGAAAUUAAAUAAUAUAAUAUUAAUUAUUUUAAUUAAUUUAAAUAUUCUUUAAACUAAUUAAUAUUUCAUUUUUCCCAUUUAUAUAUAUAGAAGAAUAAAUUUAUAAUCUUACCAUUUACACUAUUCAAAAUAUAUUAAAAUACUUUCACAACUAUCACAUCAUUCACACUUUUCAAUAAACUUUCUUUACACAUCCACUCUAACAUCCCUCAAUCCAAACAUCCUCAACUUUCAACUUUCUCCACACUUUUUUCAUAUUUUCACUCCCACACCCUCAACUUUCCACUCACGAGUUGAUAAGUGUUACAACAAAAUAUAAACUAAUGUAAAACACUAAACCAAAUAAAUAUAUUUUCAAUCCUAAUAUUCACAAUGUUAUGACCUUCACUUUUAUAUAUAUAUAUACUACAAGAAAAUCAUCAAAUAGAAACUAAUUUUUAGAGAUCAAAAUAAUUAGUUGAAAUAGUAACUAAAUUGGAGACCAUUUUAAAAACUAAAAAAAAUUGAUUUCUAAAUUAGUAACUAAUUAUUUUUUGUCUCUAAAAUUGGUUUUUAUUUCAUAAUUUUUUUAUAGUAAUAUAUAUAUAUAUAUAUAUAUAUAUAUAUAUAAUCACAAAUUUAUUUGAGUCAUCUAUCUUAAAGAACUUAAUAAAAAGUUUGAGGACUCAAAAAAUUUAACAAAUAAAAAGUAGAAUCACACUUCUACCCAAUACAAGAAAAUUAUUAAUUAAAAACUAGUUUAAGAUAAAAAAAUAAUUAGUGAUUAUAUUACUAAAAUAAAUAUUAUUUUAUAGACUAAAAAAUUAUUGAUAUCUAAAGUAGUUUUUAUUAUUAUAAAAAAUUAUAAAUUAAUUUUUAAAUUGGUAUCUAAUUAUUUAAUUAAUUUAAUUAGCUAACAUUUUUAGAACCUAAAAUAGUUGAUAACUAAUUAGAUACCAAUUUUAGAAUUUAAAGUAAUUGAUAGCUAAUUAGAUACUAAUUUAAAAUCUAGUUUAUAAAUUUUUAUUAAUAAUAAAAACUACUUUAAAUAUUAAUAAUAUUUUAAUCUAUAAAAUAAUAUUUAAUUUAAUCAAUAUAUAAUUAAUUAUUUUUAAUUAUAAAAUUAUUUUAUUUAAUAAUUAUACUGUAUUGACCAUAUACAUGUAAAUCUAAAGUGAAUAAAUAGAAUAGUAACUACAAACUCUGCAUAUGAAGAUUUAUUAAUAUUAAAAUAAAAAGUGGAACUUUUAAUAUAUUCUUCAUUGUUUCCUCUAAAAGUCACUAUAAUAUAAUCAAGACAAUCUCUAACAUUACCAUCACUAUUGACAAAUAAAUUAACUUAUUAGUAAUUAGUUCGUCAAUUUAAUAACUAUAUAUAGAAGAGAGAAAAGUAAAAUUUCAUUUAAGAGUGGAGUUGAUUGUAGAAAUUAAAUUACGUAUAAAGUUAAGGGAGGGAUAUCUAUUAUUUUUUAAUAUGAAUUGUAAUUUUAACUUGAGAUCUUCCUGUCUAGUUAAGUAAUUAAUAAGUAGAAAGCUUUAUUAAAAAAUAUAUUGAAGUUGUAUUAGAAAUUUUAGAAAAGUGGAUCCAAGUAAAUAACUUUCACUUUUAAAUUUUUUUACUAGGUAUUUUUCUGUAAUUUAUAUAUUUAAUCUCUUGCAAACGUAACAACUAUGAUUGAAUUGAAGUUUGAAAAACAUUUUUCUGAAUUUUAUGAUUAUAUGGUAAUGUCACAUUCGAGGAUUACAUAAAAUAACGUAACGUGCAACAUGAAACACGAUUGUUCUAACACAACUUUCAUCCAUUCAAUUUAUUUCUUAUAUAAAUAAUUUUAAAAUUAAAAUUAAUAAAAUUUCAUGGUUACCUAACAUUUGUCUAGUUUGUCUGAAAAAAAAUGUCCAACAAUAAAUUAAACUGGGCAAAAUAUAAUCUGUCCAUUGAAAUUCUUAAAAUAUUAAAUACAGAUUUUUGUAUUAUUUUGUCACUCUAAACUUUUGAACUUUAAAGAUAUAUAUUUUAGGUGUUUCAAAAAUUUAUACAUAUUGAUCUUUAAUGGUAAUAACACUAGAUGGAAAAAAAUUGUACAGAUGAUGGUCUUAAUAGUGUUGAUUAUUAUAUUUAAUAAAAAAAGUGUGAUAAAGUUGUCAUGUAUAUAAGUUUAUUUUUGUCGUUAGUACUAAUGAAAUCUAAAAGGUAUGUUUAAAUUUCAAAGGAAUCAAAAUAAUAUAAUUUUUUAUAAAAGUAUUUAGUGUAAUUAAAUUUUAAUAUCUCGAUUAGAGAUUAAGAUAUUUCAUUUUAUAGUAUAUAAGCGGGUGUAACUUCAUAAGCUGAUUUGGUUUAAACUUAAAGUUCACUUUUUAAUAUGAUAUAAGAUCCAUUUAAAGUCGAACUUAACUAGAGAUUUUGUUAGUCUUACCAAACCAUCUACUAUCGGAUCGUUAUUGGAUCAUAUAUAAAUAUAUAGUCUCAUACACAAACAGUCACUCUCCGCGUGAGAAAAUGUGUUAGAAAAUUCACAUAGAUUAAGUGCAAACAUUACCUUAUAAGUCGAUUUAAGUGCAAAAAUUACCUUGUAAGUCGAUUUUAUGAGUUAGAUUUGAAAUUAUUUUUCAAUAUUCAUAUAAAUUAUUUUUUUAAGAAUUAAUAUUAAACAAGCAGUAAAAAAAUAAUUAUUAUAAAAAUAUUAAAAAUAACCAUUUAUCUAAAAAUAUAUAAACUAAAAACACUCUUUUCGCAAGAAUAAAUAUGACAGACAAUGCCAUUAUUAGAAUUUAGAACACACAUGAAGGGGUUGGAGAAUAAUUUAUUAACGUCUGGAGCAGCAGCACCUAGAAGCAUUAAAUAUUCAUAAUUAUUUGUAGUAACAACUAUUUUUAAUUUUAUUGUUCUUUGAUUAUUAUUCCACUACAACAGAAUUGAUAACCGAUAACAGUUUUAAAACUUACUUAGCAACUGUUAAAACUAUGGUCAUAAAACUACAUAGUGAAUUUGUAGGCUAUGAUGAGUUUAUAUGUCUAUUUGUUGGUUGCGGCUCAACCCAACAUGUAAAUUCGUUUUUGAGCUAAACUCGAUUUGGUGAACUUGAUAUUAAGCACGUAAAAUAAAAUAAAAUAAAAAGCACCAUACUAUUAAAAUCACAAAUGAUAAUAGAAUGUUAAAAAAAAAUGUUAACUCUUAGUAAUUAACAAAUAGGUUGAGAAUCAUGUUGCCCCAACAGGAAGAAAAUGUUCUGUAGGAAGUGUAAGAGAAAAAAAAAAAUAAUGUAACAUGAAUACUUUUUUUGUGUUGUUAAAUUUAAAUGAAAAUCACAGGAACUUAUAUGUAAUCGAGAACUAUGUUUAAUCAAUUAUCUUUUUUAAACCUAUUAUUUGAUUACUUAUUUUUAAAAUUUAUCUCAAUUUAUUACAAGAAAAAUAUUAUAAUAAGUUAUUUAUAAAUAUUUUCAUCCAUAUAAUUUUGCACUUUAUAUGCAUAUAAAUGAUUUCAAGUUAACUAUUAAUAAUAAAUUAGUUGUAUUAUAAAUAAAAAACAUUAUAGUAUAUUUAUUUUCAAUUUAAUUUUUAUAAAUAAUUUAAUUCUUAUGUUUUUAAAAUAAAAUAGCUUUUUUUUUCAAAAAAAAAGGUUCUUAUACUGAUAAUCAUUUAAAUUAAAAUCUGUUUCUUGUUUGAUUCUUUUGAAAAUAUCAGUCAUGCCAAUGUGAUAAUAUCCAAAUUUUAUAUAAUUUUUCAGUUAUAUGUUUUUUUCUAGUUAUAAUUGUUUUGUAAGUUUUUUUUAUUUAUUUCAGAAACUAAUAAAAUUUAUUUUAAAUAAUAAAGAUUCUCACAUGAUAAAUAAAAACUUCAAAUAAAAUCUAAGGUCAUUGUUUAACAAAAUUUACAACCAGAGCAAAUCACAUUUCUUAUAUAAGGAAUGAAGUUAGUGUAAACAUUUCCAAAAAUGCUUAUGACCAGUUAAACAAAUUUUAAUUAUUUUUAAGAAAAUGAUUCCGAUAUUCAUGUUUUCCAAGAGUCUACAUAUGAGGUAGUGACAGAAUUGUCAUUCUACUACAUAUAAGCUCAUAAUGGACCUACUCUUUACAAAGCAGAAUUGAACAACUGCACAACAAAAAUAAAUCUUUUCCACUGCAUAGCAACUGCAAAACAUAUCAAUUGCAGAAUAAAUCAUAAUCAACUGCAUAACAAAAUAAAUCUUUCCAUAAUAUUGAAAUUUACUGUAUUUUUCACCUACUACUUCAAAUCUAAAAUCAUCAUCUACUGAAAUAUUUCAAAACAAGCUCCUGGAUUGUAAAACAACACCCACUAGUAAUCCACUGCCAAGAGUAGAGCUUAAAAUAUUUCAACCAUUUUCCACUUCCCUCCGAAUGUUGAAAACAUUUGAGAAUUUUGGGCCAACCCUAUUGACCACCAAACAAUAGAAAACUAUAUAACAUGCCACCUGAUUCUAUUAUCUGAAUCACAAUUAAGAAAUCCCAAACUUCUAUUGCUCCAUCAACUCAAGCACUAAACUCACCUGGAGAAGAAUUCACAUUCAAAAUACAAGUGAACUAGAGUUUUGACUUCCUUAUAAGGUACCUCUAGACAUGACUUCAAUGGUUGGAGUAAUACCUCUAUAUGCUUGUUCUUAAGGGAGAAAUCAAUCUUGAGCUAGCUUCCAAAUACAAGAUUGAACCUUGAGUAAGUGUCAUAGAACCUUAUCCAGCCUAAAUUUCGAUAAUAGAACCUUAUAUGCGAUUUAACCAAGUAAGUGUGUCUAUGUAAUAAAUAAAUCAUUUUCAUGAAAGUUGAAACUUUAUAAAAUGAACUCAAAUUUAAACCAUUCAUUGACGCUGGCUUCAUAUAUUGGAGCUUAUUGCGGAAAAUCCUUAUUACUAUAUGACUUUAGAGGAGUUUUACAGUGUAAUUACAAGAUAGAAUACUGACAUAAAGUCUCCAUAAGAUUCAAGUUUUGAUAUGACCAUCCUAAAUCAUCCUCUGAAUGUUGUCAGUAAAAUUAACCAUAGUUUCAAGACUGUUAUCAUCUGCAACAAUGAAGCACCAAAUUAAAAUCACAGAUUUUCAGAGUUGAGACACAUUAUAUGCACAAAACUAAUAUUCAAAUGCGUCCUGGCACCAGUCAUAGUUAGUUACAAUGAAAGAUCUACAAUUUAAAGUAGGAGACACCACUAACCAAGUUUGGGGACUGUAUGCCCUCUGGGGUGAUGAAUCACAACAGGAUUCUGGAAUGCUCCCAACAAAGCAACGCUCUCUUCCUUCAUGAAAUCUUUCUCCCCUUCACCACAUAAUAAGAAUAGAAGAUACAAUACAACUUUCAAAGUUAAAUGUAAAGGAAAAUUUGCUUAAGCAGAAUCACAUAUGAGGGACUUGAAAUUACCAAUAAUGUGAAGAGAUAAGCAAUCAAUUGGUUUUGAAAAUGCAUUAGAAGCCAAUUUAGGCAUUCCAAACUUGUUUCCACCAAACUUGGCACCAGAUAUCACAAUCAAAAACUUGAUCUUGUCUACCUUCCCAAGUGCUACACCCUAUAAAAGUCAUCAUUCCCUUUAGUGAAAUCAAAUGCAGUUUUAACUAAUUUAGCCUACUUAGAGCAUCUCUAAUGCCGCUGUUUACAAAAGUUGCUUAAAAUGAAUAGCAUUGCUCAACAAAAAUUGACAUAUAAGAAACAUAAACUAUUUUUAUUUUAAAAAAAUGUACAUUUUCAAGUUAACAAUCAUCGUCAAGACAAAGAAACAAAGCUAUACACCCAUUUAAAAACUUUAGCAUUAGAGUUAAAACUCAAGUAUUCAUUCUUUGACAAUUUAAGAAAUAAAACCGUAUAAGCAAACCAUGCUUCAUGCUUCGUAGAUACUCAUUGAAAACUCAAAUAUUCAUUCAUUCUUUCACCAAAAGGGCAUCAUCAAGGAAGGAAAGAUGAACUUAAUAUAUAAAAGAGAAAGUGUAAACAGUAAUAAGAUGAGUUUCUUGUUCAGUACCUGCGCUUGCAUUCCUGGCAAUGCAGCCGCUAAAAUUGCUCCCUGAGAGACAACAUUCCUUAUGUGUCAAAAUUGUAUAAACAAAAGAUUACAAAAAGUUCACAAAUAACAUUGUAGCAGCAAAGUCCGCACCUGAGAGAAACCCAAUACACCAUCGAAAGGACCAUUUUUGAGCAUGUAAUCUUCUAUGUAUGCUAAACAGGCUUCGAAGUUUCUAUACUCAGAGAAGUCCUGUACAUGAAAAGAUAAACGUUAGCAGCAUACUAGGAUAAUGUCGGUGGUGGGGAUUACUAAGAUGGACAGUCUUGUCUCUACAACAACCUCAUUGGCUUGGAACCAUUCAUAGUAAGGAGGAUCGAAAAUGCCUUCAACGUCAGAUCUUCCCUGCGCGGGAAAUUGGCCAUCGAGGAACACGAGGUCCAAUUUUUGUAUCACUGGUUCUGGCCAUCUUAAGACUAGCUGCUUGAGGAUUUCGCCACUGGUUCUGAAUCCGUGGAGACACAGGAUUCUGGGUUUUCUCUGGGUUUGGUCUUCUUCCAUAAUGCUCAAACUUUGACAGCAGAUUAUUGCUCAGGGUGCUUUCAUGAAAUCAAAAUGAAAAUUAGUACCAAUUUCUUUAGAUUUGGGCAAAAUGUAAGGGCCGGCGCCGCCGAACCCAUCAUUUAAUAAAAUUGUAAAACAUUGUAAUUUUUAGAUUUCAUCUUAUAAAAUCAACUCAAUCUAAAUAAAUAAAUAUAUUUCAAAUUUAAAUUAUAUUAUUAUAAUUAAUUUUAAUUUGAAAUAUAAUAAUUUAAUAUAGAAAUUAUAAUGCAUAUAUAUGUUUAAAUAAAAUAACAUUAUUUUUAUAUUUUAAAUAAUUAUUAUUAUUUUAUAAAAAGAUUAUGUAUAAGGCUAUUUAUAGGCCGAACCUGUUUAAAUAUAUUACAAAAAUAAUUCAGUUUAAUUUAUAUUAUAAUUUUUUGUAAUUGAACCGUUUGAUUAUGUAGUUUUUUCAUGUGUUAGCUACAAGACACUAGUCUAUUUCAGCACAAAUAAAAAUAAUUUAUAUAUCACUCAAAGGAUAGUUCUCGUAAUUUAUUCUCAUGAAAGGUGUUUCCGUCUGUUGACUCGAACAAUAGUCUUUGUCCCUCCUAACUCCGUCUGAGAAUUGAACUUUCUUGAUCGAAGAAUCUCUCACCUGCAAAGACAAAGGGCGUCUUGACGGUCGUUUGCACUCCAACGCUCAAGUCAGUAUAAGGGCAAAGAAAGACCAAGUGUAUAAAGUAGUUUCAGUCUUAGAAAUUGUGUACCUUGCUAGGAUUCUUAGCACCCUUUAUAUAGGUUGAAACUAGGGUUUACCUUCGCUCAUUUACCCAUAUCUAGGGUUCCUUCGAGAAUGUCCCUACGCCGCUAUUACAUAAUCUUAGCGUAAUCUGAUACAUUGAACUUCCCUUAACUGGAGUGCAACGACUAACAGAAUGGUCAUCUGGGUACCAACUUGUGCACCUAAUCUCUGGGGCCAUCUAUUACGCGGGUGUCUUAAGUAUUCACGUGUCAUGCAUGCAGCUCCCUUCGGAAACCCUAACCCUAAUGGGCCUUAGCGCCUCCAAGGACUGUUUACUCGUGUCGCGCCUGAAUGCACUAUACACACCACCUGCAUGGAUCCCUCGUGACUUAGGUUUUCCUUAUAUCUGUCGUUUUAACUGAUAACUUAGUAUAAUUCUAGGGUCCACCUUACGUGGUCAUAUAUAACUGUUCUGACCGUCAACAUCCGAUCUCUUCCUAUUCUGGCAAGGUCUGAUAUCGAUCUCCAACUUCGAGGUCUAUGGUACUAGUGUCCGAACGCUGACCCACACCCUGAUAUGCGUAUCUGGGACCCACCUUGUGUGGCCCAUCUUUGCUAUCAGGCACCGAUGCGCGACGUCUGAGAUCAGUCUCUGAAGUCGAUGACCGAUGACUGGUCGAUACAAAAAGAAAAAUAAAUUAUUAACAUGUAGCAUGAUUAAUCCGGUUAUAAAAAAAAAUCCCAUAAAUUGUUACAUGCUAAUAUUUUUUUUAAAAAUUAUGAAAUUGUCAUGAAUGUUAUAUCCUCAUUUAUUUUUUAAAAAAAAUUCCUUACAUAGAAGUAGGCCAUUCAAUUCUAUAUAUAUAUUUGAAAUUUGUAGUAUAUGUUGGUUAUUAAUUCAGAUUUUAUUAUUAUUAAUUCUGAUUUUAUUACCCUUAAACUAUUUUACCGUUAUAUUGCAUUAAUGGUCAGUUUACAGGCCUGUUAGUAUUCUUAUUUUAUAGCUUCCAGUAAUUGUAAUUUUAUUAUAUAUAUAUAUAUAUAUAUAUAUAUAUUAUAUAUAGUNNNNNNNNNNNNNNNNNNNNNNNNNNNNNNNNNNNNNNNNNNNNNNNNNNNNNNNNNNNNNNNNNNNNNNNNNNNNNNNNNNNNNNNNNNNNNNNNNNNNUUACGUUCAAUAGUUGCUACAACCUUUUGCCUUCUCUUAUUUCCUUCAAUUAAUUCCUACAACUGGUAUCAGAGUCAGUCUGUUAUCAUAAACUCUACCCAAUUAUCAGUCCCUAUCCUUGAUGGAAAAAAUUACAAUCGGUGGUGUGUGCAGAUGAAAGUUUUGUUUGAUUAUCAUGAGUUAUGGGAUGUCGUUGAGAGUGGAGUGUUUGCAUUAGCUGCUAAUGCAACUGAGGCACAACGAGUAGCGCAUCGUGAUCAGAAGAAGAAGAAGGACAAUAAGACUUUGUAUCUCAUCCAUCAAGGGAUGAAUGACGAGACGUUUGAGCAGAUAGAAUGAGCAACAACUGCCAAUGAGGCUUGGACAAUUUUGUCAACCAAUUAUAAAGGUGAUGAUAAGAUCAAAAGGCUGCGUCUUCAAACCCUAAGACGCCAAUAUGAAUUGUUGCAGAUGGAAAUCACAGAGACUAUUUAUGUCUAUAUAAAUAAAGUUCUUGCCUUCACAAAUCAGAUGAAGACCAAUGGUGAAACACAUUCGGAGCAGGCAAAGGUGGAAAAGAUUUUGAGAUCUUUAACUCCCAGAUUUGAACAUGUUGUUGCCGCAAUUGAAGAGGCCAAUGACAUUUCAAAAAUGACAGUAAGGUUAUUGUUUGGUUCUCUACGAGCGCAUGAGCAGCGGAUGAAUGACAAUAAGAUUGAAAAACCAAUUGAACAGGCUUUAGAAGCACAAGCCUCAAUUGGUAGCUCCUAUAAUAAACAUGGUAGCUAUUUCAGCAAAGGUCGUGGUGGCUAGAAUCAUGGAGGCGCUUGGCGCGGGGAACGUGGUCGCGGAGGACGAGGAGACAUUUAUAAUAAAUCAAAUGUUGAGUGUUAUAAUUUCCAUAAACGUGACCAUUAUGCAAAUGAGUGCAGAUCAAAAGGUGAUAAUCAUGCUUCCAAUUGUGCUCAAGAAGAUAGUAAUCACGAACAAGAUGAAGAGGACCAUGAAGUAUUAAUGACAACCACAUCAAAUGAAACUCCAAACAACCAGACUUGGUAUUUGGAUACAGGUUGCACGAAUCAUAUGUGUGGUCAGAAGGAGCUGUUUGCAGAUUUGAAUGACUCAUUUCGCACAAAAGUGAAAUUCGGUGAUGGCAAGUUCAUUCCAGUGAUUGGAAAAGGGCAAAUUCUUAUUACAUUGAAGAAUGGUGAUCACAGGUACAACUAUGAUGUUUUCUAUGUACCUGACAUGAAAAGUAAUCUAUUGAGUGUGGGACAACUGGCCGAAAAGGGUUACGUGAUGCACAUAGUUGAAAAUAAAUCUCAAUUUUUUAUAAAAAAAAGGUAAUUUGAUUCUUAAAAUCUUUUUAUCAAAAAACUGCAUGUUUCCAGUAGAUAUUCAUAUGGGUGAUUUCAAGUGCCUGAAUGCAAUAGUGAAUAAUGAAUCGUGGUUAUGGCAUUUACGCUUUGGGCACUUAAAUUUUCAGAGUUUGAAAAAUCUUUCCAAAAGAAAUUUAGGCUUUGUUUGGAUUAGGGAGUGGAAAUGAGGGAGUGGAUUUGAGAUGAUUUGAAGAGAAACUGUAAAGAAAGUUAGGGUGUUUGGAUUAAGGUAAAGAGAGGGGAAAGUGUAGGGAAAGUUUAUAAAAGUUUGUGAGUGAUGUGAUGGAUGUGAUUGAAAUUGUAUUUUUUUUAAUUGAUAAAAAUGUAACUUUACACAUUUGCCCUUAUAUUUAAAAAAUGAUAAAAAAAAUUAUUUUGAUUGAUUAUUUGUGAAUUACAUUUUUUUUAAAUUAAAAUUAUUUUUUCGACAAUUGAAACAUUAUUUUUGAUACCGUGUUCGAGCUAACUUCGGAAAAUUAUAAAUUAUAUAAAUUUUUUGGAUCAUAUUUAUGAUUGAUAAACAUUAUUGAGAACAAAGUUGUAAUUGUGAAUUAUUUAUUUUUCAAUUAUAGUUGUAUGCAAUUAAAAGAUUAUUUUCGGUAUGGAACAAAUUAUUUCUCAUAAUGUGUUGGAUGUAUAAUUCGAUAAAGGAUUUUUUUUUUAAGAAAUAAAUAUUAAUGUGUAUUAAUGCAGUAUUUUAGUUUAUUAAAGCAAAAUUCAUUGAUAAAUUUUGUGCAUAAUAAUAAUGAUUCAGAAAAUCAUAUGAAUGAUACAAUGAAAUAUGUUUCAUUCAAAAUAGUCAUGGAAGUCCUUAAUUUGUUUAGGGAUUCGUGUCAUUAAUAAGAUUACAGAUUCGAAAAGAAAAACACAUAUGCAUAAUAAAGUACAACCAAAUUUUUACGUAGUUUAGGGAUUUGUAGUCAUUAUCUUGACCAGCUUUCUCAUUCUUCGCUCAAGAGGCAGGCCAAAGAGUUGUUUUACCGCAUUAGGAUGACCACACAAGAAGUCGUAACAAUUAUCUAACAAAUCUCCAUCUUGUAUGUUCAUCUCCACUAACAUUUCCCAGAUGUCAUAUUCAGAGUACUGGAAAGUCGAUGUACGAGGAAGUGUGCGCGUGUGUUCACGAAAUAUGGAGUUUCGUUCUUCUUCUGCAACAACAUGGCGUCUGUUAUAUUGCAGAUUUUCUUCCGUAGCAUUAGCCACUCGCUGUGAUGACAAAGCGACAACCUUAGAUGAAAUGGCUUGUCGCUCAGCAAUAUGACAUAACCUAUCUGACUGAUCAGUACCCCUCCCAAGGAUAUCAGUUAAUCCUUCAAACCUUGUGUUAAGCCUUUCCAGUUGCAGAUCAAUGACGUCCACCAUAGGGGCUUUUCUUUUUGAGCCUCUAGAAGAAGAAGUACCACCUGAUGGCUGGGAUGACUGAGGUGGCACCAAUGGGGGUGUCAAAUUAGGGUCAGGGCUGUAUGAAUCAACAUUAGGAUCAGCUGAGCGAGGAGUUUCACAUUGAGUAGCAUCCAAUCCUGGCUCCUCUAGGAUGUCCUCCAUAUUGUGAUCAUUAAGAUCUACAUUAAAAUGAUGAGACUGAGUUCGAUUUGAGGACUGCAAUGUUGUUCUUCCACCGUGGCCAGUAGCACGAUCAAGCCCCCAAAGUCUUCCAUCAACUUGUAGUGCCUGAUGGGAUUAACACGCCAUUUUGCGGUCGAGGGCUUUGCCUGUUCAUUAAUGAAAAGAAAUACACUCAUAAUCAUAAUUAGUGGUUAAUGUAUGCGAUAAGUGAACAUCAAGUUGAAUAUGUUACCUUUAUCAACGAAUCUCACACUUCAUCCUCGGCCUCGAAAAUUUUCGUGCUUGGAUUCCAAGCAAAACCACUCAGUCCACUAAAUAGAUCAUGGAUCUCACGCCAUUUGUCCUUAAGGCUUUUCUGCCUGUUCUUCACAUUAUUUUUUGUAAUCCCUACCAAUCCAGUCUGAUGUAAGGAUUUAACAAUGUUUGUGUAACCCUGCGUCGUCCAACUACCAUCAAUGCGGUUACCCAUAGAUGCCUCAUCGAUCAUGGCAUUCAGCAAUCGGAAAUCCAUGUCGGUAGUCCAUUUUUUGUGUUCACGGACAACUGCAGAUGACUCUGAAGCAAUACCCUUCCCGUGAUCCAUGAUAAAACCUAAUAAAAAAGGUUAAAACUUUAGUACAAUAACNNNNNNNNNNNNNNNNNNNNNNNNNNNNNNNNNNNNNNNNNNNNNNNNNNNNNNNNNNNNNNNNNNNNNNNNNNNNNNNNNNNNNNNNNNNNNNNNNNNNUCAUACGUAAAUAUUAAUAAAGGUGGAAUGUCAACAUUAAACCAUGAAAUUGUUCUUACAACAAUAUAAAUAUAAGUUCACGGAUGUUACAUAAAAUUAAUUAUUACAAUAACCUUUCCACAUUUCAUUCGCUAUAGUAUCCCUAAUUUGUGACCCGAGCCUGUAGUCAUCCUCACGAGUUUGCGAGUGUGACACAUCUAUAUCUCCUUGCAUCAACUCACGGUCAACUUCUUCCAACAAAGAGUCAUCAUUAUCCACCCCGCGAAGAAAGUUAUGAAGAAUACAACAUGCUAAAACAAUAUCGGUCAUAGUGUCCACAGAGUAAUGAGGCUCUGUUCCGCUAAUGAUAAUUGGAAAUCGCUUUUUGAGGACACCAAAUGUUCUUUCGAUAACAUUUCUUAGUGAGGAAUGACGAUGAUUAAAUAACUCACGGGCAUUUUGUGGACCUCUUCGGGAAUACUCUUUUAGAUGGUAUCGAACUCCGCGAUAUGGAGUUAUAACUUGGGUUUUGAGCAUAAAACCCGCAUCUCCAAGGUAGUAUUUGCCUACAACCAUCCAUUAAUAAUUGUUACUUAUAAGUGAAUUUCAUGUCAAAAUCANNNNNNNNNNNNNNNNNNNNNNNNNNNNNNNNNNNNNNNNNNNNNNNNNNNNNNNNNNNNNNNNNNNNNNNNNNNNNNNNNNNNNNNNNNNNNNNNNNNNNNNNNNNNNNNNNNNNNNNNNNNNNNNNNNNNNNNNNNNNNNNNNNNNNNNNNNNNNNNNNNNNNNNNNNNNNNNNNNNNNNNNNNNNNNNNNNNNNNNNNNNNNNNNNNNNNNNNNNNUCGAUUGUUGUUUAAGAUAUGAGGUUCAACCUCAGUCCCAGCUGGUUGAAUUAAGAACUCUCCAUGCAUCAUCAAUAUUGCUUUCAAAACAUUAUGAAAGUGACGAGACACUGUUUCCCCGGACCGAUGAAAGAAGAACGAAACACUUCGAUUCUUGACGUUAUAACCAAUGAUGUGUAAAAAUUUAGCCACUUGUUCUUCAACUAUAGAUCGAAAUGCAUCUUUAACCAUAUCCGUUCCUCUUAUUCGUUGACAUAAAUUAAUAAAUGCUUCCGGACUCAUGCGAAUAAUGUCACGACAUCUUUCAGUAUGGACCAAGUACGACAUCAAUUCUUGUCGACGACGCUCUUUUUGUGGAAUAAACUCCGGUAUAGGAUUAUUUGUCUCGGUUAACACACGCAAUACGUUCAAUCCAUAUCCAAUCAUGCAAAGAAUUGUCAUUGCUGCUACUUAUGUCCGCAAAUUGAUUUGCUCUUGUAUUUGUGAAACUAGUGUGAAAUCAACACCAACUACAUCGGGAUUCAUGUCAUUCGUGCUAGACAUCUCGACAUUUUUGAAAUACAUAGACCAAUGGUUAUCGUUAUCCAUGGUCACAAAUCCUUGACAAUCAUAUAAGUUUAACUAUUAGGUCUAAAGAACCACCUUUUAGAGAAAUAAUAAUACUCAAUUUUUUUUACUUUUAAAAAAAAUUAAAAUAUUAUAUAUAAACUCUGUAAAGUGUUAUAAUUAUAGUUGUAUUACAAAUUCAAAAUAAUAUUUAUAAAUUUUUUUUUACUUGAUUUUAGGAAAAAAUAAAUAUUAUAUAUAAACUCUGUAAAGUGGUAUAGUUAUAGUUGUAUUAUAAAUUCAGAAUAAUAUUUAUAAAAUUCUUUUACUUGAUUUUAGAAAAAAUAAAAUCUUAUAUGUAGACUAUCUAUAAAGUAAUAUUUUAAAAUAUUUAAAUACUUUGUAUACUUAUAAUUAUUUUAUAAAUUCAGAAUAAUAUUUAUAAAAUUCUUUUACUUGAUUUUAGAAAAAAUAAAAUCUUAUAUGUAGACUAUCUAUAAAGUAAUAUUUUAAAAUAUUUAAAUACUUUAUAUACUUAUAAUUAUUUUAUAAAUUCAAAAUAAAAUUUAUAAAGUCUUUUAGCUGAUUUUGGAAAAAAAUAAAUAUUAUAUGUAAACUAUCUAUAAAGUAGUAUUUUAAAAUAUUUUGUAUACUUAUAAUUAUUUUAAAGCCUGUUCAAAAUAAUAUUUAUAAAGCUUUUUACCUGAUUUUAGGAAAAUUUAAAUAUUUAAAUAUUUUGUAUACUUAUAAUUAUUUUAUAAAUUUAAACUGAUAUUUAUAAAGUUUUUUACUUUAUUUUUAGAAAAAAAUAAAUAUCAGAAACAAUUUAAAUAUUAAUAAGUUUGUUUUAACUAUCAGAAAACUCAUUCAAACUUUCAUUAAUGCUCAUUAAUUCUCAUCAAUAUACUCAUCAAUGUGAUUAAGAAAAAACUUUGAAAACUCAAAAAGGCAGCAGCAUUCUAUUAAUUCUAUUAACAUAAAUAAAAUAAAUUACAAAUUCCUUCCCUCCACAUUUCAUUCUCAUAUUUUAUUCUCCAAAUUCCAAAUCUAUGUAUGAAACUUACCUCCAGAAACCUAGAGAAAACGAUGCCACCGCGAACCACCAACGACCACCGAGCACCACCAGCGGAACCACCACCCACCACCAGCAACGAAACCGUCCACGUCCAACGACCACCAACAACGCCGCCUACGGAACCCCACCCACACCUUGCACCUCCGACAACCGCACACCUCCAACACUUACGAACCUCCGACAACCGCUCACUUCCAACGGUUGUGAACCUCCGACAACCGCGCAUAUCCACCGCGUACCUCCGACGAGCACCUCCGACAACCGCGCACAUCCACUGUGUACCUCCGACGAGCACCUCCGACCGCUUCUAAGGGUACUCCCUCAACUCAAAACAAAUAACCCACCUCCACUCCUCUUCCAUAUUUAUCAUCUCUCUCAUUUAUUCAUCACCCACACACUUGAAUUUAUCCACCAAACAAUGUACGAAUCCCUGUUUGUGCUGUGUUUGUGUUGUGUUUAUGCAAGGAAUCUCAUGCGUGAGAAUGGAGAGAAUAUUGGAGUUGCAUGGCACGGGCAUAGGCAGCUAUGGCACAUAGGUUAGGUGAACGGAUGGGUAAUAUGGUAAAAUGAGAAAGUUUCUCUCCAAAUCUUCUCAUCUCAUCAGGGAAGCCUUUUUCCCUUUCUUUGCUUUUCUUCGCCCCCUAAUCCCCGCUAACUCCCAGAUACAAACAUCAGAUUUAUUUCCUUUUCAAUCCGGGUGAACAGUAAUCACCCGGAUACAAACACAGCAUUAGUGAAUGGUUUACCCCAUAUUCAUCACCCUGAUCAAUUGUGUGAGGCUUGCUUUUUGGAAAGAAUCAUAGGAUACCAUUUGUUAAGGAGCCUUGGCGUGCAAAAUUUCCUUUGGAGCUUGUUCAUACUGAUGUUUGUGGCCCGAUGAACAUAUCAUCAGUUGGAGGUAAUAAGUAUUUUUUAACCUUUAUUGAUGAUUUUUCAAGGAAAACCUGGAUUUUAUGUAUUGAAAAGCAAGGAUGAGGUAUUCCACUGCUUUAAAAUAUUAUAUUUAAAGCAUUUGUUGAAAGACAUAGUGGCAGACAAAUUAAGAUGGUGUGUAAUGAUGGAGGGGGUGAGUACAAGUCUAAUGAGUUCAAGAGGCAUUGUGAGGAACUUGGGUUGCAGCAUAACAUAACCUGUCCCUACACACCUCAACACAACGAAGUUGUUGAGAGAAAAAAUAGAACAAUCAUGGACACGGCGAGGAGCAUGCUUAAAGCAAAAGGUAUGCCAAAUUAUUUUUGGACUGAGGCCGUAACAUGUGCGGUAUAUUUGAUAAACAGAUCACCCACUCGGAGUGUUCCUAACACAACUCUGAUUGAGGCAUGAAGUGGAUUCAAACCCAAUGUGCAGCACUUGAAGGUAUUUGGGUCAAUUACUUAUGCUCAUGUUCCCAAGGCAGCAAGAUCGAAGUUGGAUGAUAAGGCAGAGAAGACCAUUUUCAUUGGAUAUAAGCAUGGGGAUACAAAUUGUACAAUCCAAUGACAAAGAAGGUGAUUGUUAGUCGUGAUGUUACAUUUGCCGAAGAUGAGGAAUGACAAUGGAAUGCAACAGUUGAAAUUGAUUCAAAAAAACGAUAUAUUUACGUUUUGAACGAUGAUGUGGAAGAUGGAGUCACUCUUAAAGCACCUACAGUUCAACCUGAAGCUGUAAUUCAACCUGAAAAUGCAACUCCAAUUGCAACUAUGAUGGAGCGACCAAGAAGGCAACAACGACAACCUGUACACCUUCAAGACUACGAAGUAAAUCUUGACGAUGAAGUUGAUGACAAUGGAGAUUUAGUUCACUUUGCUUUUGUUGCAGACUCAGAACCUGUGAGACUUGCCGAUGCCAUUCAACACCCCAAAUAGCAAAAGCCUAUGAAUGAAGAAUUGAUGGCGAUUGAGAAAAACAAUAUCAUGACUCAAAUUGGGAAGGAUGUUCCAAAUCAUAAUUAAGGGAGGAUGUUGGUUAUUAAUUCUGAUUUUAUUAUUAUUAAUUCUGAUUUUAUUACCUUAAACUAUUUUACCGUUAUAUUGCAUUAAUGGUCAGUUUAAUGGCAUGUUAGUAUUCCUAUUUUAUAUAGGUUCCAGUAAUUGUAAUUUUAUUAUAUAAAUGAUUGAGUAAAUUAAAAUGAAUAGAAUCAAUUUUACAAUUUCGUGCAAUUACGUUCAAUCAACAUCUAAUUUAAAAAACCAUUUUUGCAUAGGACGGAAAAUAGUUCGCGUCCUAUAAGCAAAGCUAAAUUUUAUUCUCACUAGUUUUAAACACUACAAAAAAAAACUUUUAUUAGAAAGGGCCAAAGGCGGACACUAAUCACAAAAAGCCCACGCAAAGAUGCAAUUAACGUGGGCUUUGCCUUCACACAACUUUGAAGCUAAUAUCCUUGUCGCAAAAAAACUGUCGGGUGCGUGGCGUCGCAAAAUGUUGGCUUGCGUGGGCUUUGCCUACAAGUUGCCAACACAAAAAAUUACAAAUGUUAACUUAAGCGGGGGCUUAGCCUUGGACAGAAAAUGAGGGCUUAGGCUUAGCUAGGGGGACAAUAAAAUUAGCGUGGGCUUAGCCUUGGAUAAGGGGACAAUAAAAGUAAAAAUAAAGCGUGGGCUUAGCCUUGGAUAGUGGGACAAUAAAAUUAGAAUAAAGCGAGGGCUUGACCUUGGUAAAGUGACAAUGAAAUUAGAAUGGGCUUAACCUUGGAUAUGUGGACACCUUUUUUUUUGUAUGCACUAUUUUUGGCAGCUAUUGAACUCCACUUUUAAAUAAAAGUUUGGAUUUUAAAUAUUAAAUAUUAAUAUUUUUUAAUUUGCUUUUUUUUUUGCAAUAGCAUUAAAAAGAAAAAAACAUCAAUGAAUUGAUAAGUUAAAAACUAAAAAACAAAAGUAAUGAAUAAAUUAUUAUAUUGAUGAAUAAAAAGUGUUUAAGCACCGGAAGAUGGACAUUAAUUAGUUAGCUUGGUUAUCUUAGUGAUUUCAUUAUUCUUCUUCUUAGGUUUAAGCUUUGUUGAAAUGCCUUCCAUUUGCGCUGCUUACUAGUUAUGUUUUAUCAAAACAUAUGCAAUGAAAAAACUAUCAUUUUAAUACAUUUAAGAAACAUUGUUCUAUAAUAAAUAUUUUUAUUAUAGAAAGUUAUGCACCCAACAGCUGGUUCUCUAGCUUAAGUUAUGCUUAAGUUAGUAAUUUAGCUGGAUGACCACAGUUGUGAAUGAGUAGUUUGAUAGGCUGGUUCUCUAGCUUCCAUGAUCAUCUUUUCUGGAUUCUAUGAAUAUAUUGUUUAUCAAGUUUCUCUGGACACAUAACAUAGUAUCUAAAAUUGGGGAUCGUACAACAACAACAAAGGUUUAAGGAUAGCUACAUACACAAACAUUUAAAUCAUAUGGUAUAACAUCUUGGCUCUUAUAUGUUAAAGAGAUGAUUAUAUUCAAAAUUGUAUAUUGAUCACACAGAAUCCUCUAUGGAGUUACUAAUUAAAUUGCAGAUGUCACUGCAUAUACCCUAAAAGAGNNNNNNNNNNNNNNNNNNNNNNNNNNNNNNNNNNNNNNNNNNNNNNNNNNNNNNNNNNNNNNNNNNNNNNNNNNNNNNNNNNNNNNNNNNNNNNNNNNNNNNNNNNNNNNNNNNNNNNNNNNNNNNNNNNNNNNNNNNNNNNNNNNNNNNNNNNNNNNNNNNNNNNNNNNNNNNNNNNNNNNNNNNNNNNNNNNNNNNNNNNNNNNNNNNNNNNNNNNNNNNNNNNNNNNNNNNNNNNNNNNNNNNNNNNNNNNNNNNNNNNNNNNNNNNNNNNNNNNNNNNNNNNNNNNNNNNNNNNNNNNNNNNNNNNNNNNACUCUUGAACAACAAAACAGAUCCAUGCAUAAUCCAAAUAUAAAACAAUACCAUUUCUAAUUUUUGGAUUGAUUUCCAUAGUGAAUCUAAUUACACCAAAAUGAAGAAGUUUGUGAUUGAACAUUGAAAGGCAAUGACACUUGCCAAAUGUUUUAAGCAAAGAUAGAUGUCACAACCCAGUGUGUCUGUCUUCCCAGAGGAUGAAAAGAGAACAUAUAUAUCUACGUACCUCACAAAAUUGCAAUAUUUUCCCAAAACAGAAAAAUGAGAGAUACUGCAUGAACACACUGCCAAUAAGAUACUUACCCAAAAUUGCAAUCCUUUUUUCCUUGCUUAUAUCACGAACUUUUACUGCAUGAACACACUCACUCAUCACAACACUACCAAGAAGAUAAAAACAUGCACAUCACAACACUACCAAGAAGAUAAAAACAUGCUCAUCACAACACUGCCAAGAAGAUAAAAACAUGCAAAGAGUCAUGCAUGCAAUGUGAGUAAUACAUAAAUGACUCAACCUCUCCAUGUCUUUCUAUUGCAUUGCAUAAAUUCUUGUCAAGGAAACUACAAACCAAACUUAAGAAAUGUUUUAAGAAAACUAACAAAAUGAUGAACUCAAGGCAGGGGUUGAUCCAAAAUUUGCUACACCAAAACAAAUCCAAAAUUAAUUCACUACUAGAAAACUAAAGAUCAAUAAUUCUCUCCUUAAUUUCAAUUACACCAUGUAAAAGGGUCAAAUUUCACUAUGAAUCCAGGACUGGUAAAAGCUAAGAGAAGCCUAAAUUACUUAGAAAUGGACAACUUAAAAAAGAGAGUAAAAAUUGCGAAAAAAAAUGCAUAAGGGGCAAUAGAGAAAGAAGCAAGAGUUCACUGACAAGUGGCAUGGCUGAACAGGGCAAGAAACAUAAACUUUUAAUGGCCAUGAUAUAUUUUCUUUAUCUUUUUUUCACAAUUAAUUCAGUACUUCAUAUUAAGUAGUUAAAAAUUCUGCCAGACAAAUCCUCCCCAAAUUACACGACCUCUAAACCCACAAGAACUGCCAGACUGCCAGUCAAACUACAAGGUUAGCAAUGAAUCCAACCAAAACUUAGAAUCCAAACAAGAAGUUUAGUCAGUCACAAAUAAAGACUCAAGAAUGGUAAGGGUAACAAAACCUAAAGCUUCACAAAUCCCCUGGGAUGUGUUUCCACAUCUUACCUCACAUAUCAGUCUGGAAAAAUAUGCUCUAUCUACAAUGUUUCAAAUAAAGGGGAGACAUCUUCCCUGAGCAUUUUAUUAUUACUAACCUAUGAUUUGCUAAAAAGAAUCAAACAAAAACAAUAUUCAAAUUUAUGUUUUUUAAUCCCUGCUGAAAAAGAACUAACACAAAGUUACAUAUGAUAGAUUUUUGUCAUCAAAUAAAUAACUACAUCCAAACUCAAGUAAGCAUCUCCUUCCAGUAUUUAGAUCUCCUACCUCACAUCCGUGGCUUGUUUUUCGUGUACACUAGCAGAUUUUAAUCCUUAACCGGUUUUACAUGCUAAAAAGAAAUGAACACAAACGAAUCAACACCUAGACAUAAAAAAUUUAAGAACUAUAUUUAAAUUCAAAUAGAUAUUGGUAAUAAAGACCAAGAAUUUAAGAAAGCAUAAGAUGAAUUGAAGGAAUAAAAAAACCAGAGAAAUUCAAAUAGUCAGUCCCAGUUAAAGACAAAAAUAUGUGUGGAUGCAAAGAAGAUCGAUAAUCAUGCAACACAAAUUAGGCAAGAACAUUGUUCCUUUGCACGAACCAAGUUCAAGUUCAAAAUUCAUUUGUCAAUGAAAGAAACUAAUAAAGUAUAUCUGACAGACACAUCAUAUAUUACAAACUUCAAUAAUCAACAAGAACUAUAUUCAAAUUUAUAUUUUUUAAUCCUCAACUGGAAUCAUGUUGAAAACGAACUAACGCAAGCACAUAAACGGUUACAUAUGAUAGAUCUAACAUAAAAUAAAUAACUACAUCCAAACUCAAGUAGACAUUUGUCAUGAAAGAAAGACAAAAAAUGUAGGAUAACAAAACCUAACGCAUCAAGGAUCUCCAUCCAGUAUUUAGAUAUCCUACCACACAAAGAAAUCAACACCUACACAUACAAAUUUUAAGAACAAUAUUUAAAUUCAAAUAGAUAUCAAUAAUAAAAACCAAGAAUUUAAAAAAGGAUAAGAUAAAUUAAUGAAUUCAAAAACCGGUGGAGCCUUAGUUGCUCAAAACACGCACGAUGAGGUAGAAGAUUCAACCCUUAGGCCUUAUAUAACAUACUCCAUGAUAUGGUGCAGGGCAUUAAGUGAAAAUAAUUCAAACAUCGAACACAAUUCAAUCCUUGGAGAUCAAGUAGAGAGAAAUUAAACAAUAGAGAGGAAACUCAUCAAGAAAUUAGGAUAUCCUGAGCUGCAGUCGUUUUAAACUCUUUUAGAGUUUAGGGUUUCAAAUAUCAAGUAGAAAAAAUUCAAUCAUCGAACACCAUUUAAUCCUUGGAGAUCAAGUAGAGAGAAAUUAGGGAAACAAAACAUAAUACUUCACAUCAUGUCCUACACUACACCACACAUCCAUUGCGUGCUUUCCCUGUACAGCCCAAAAAUUCAAGAAACGAAUUAGCUGUACAGCCAAAAAUUCAUGAAAACGAAAUAACCUCUUAAUAAAAAGAAGUAUAGAAAAAUGAUAAAAAUGAAGAUGCAGAUGCAGAUAAAGACUAAAAAAGACUUGGACAGUUACACAACCAAACACCACUGCAGACAAACACCAAUAAACAAAUCAUAAUCCAAUCCUUAUUUUCGGUGAUCAAUACCAGAUAAAUUAAAUAAUAGAAAGGAGACUAAAACAAGACUUGGAUCAAUUGGCCUUUCUAAACUAUUAUGUUUUUCAUUUCAUCGAUAGACAAAACAAAUCUCAAAACCAAGUCACCAGCAGAAAAGGGAUAAAGGAAUUUGAUCAAAAGAUUCAAAACUUGCCAUCAUCACAAAGAAUCACAUUCGGCGUAAAUGAAUCACAAUCCAAUAAAAGCACAUUAAUCACUUACAAAUAAUUUUUCUAUCCCACGACGCAAACAUCAUGUAAUUCUACAAAACCUUAUAGAGAAUCACAACAAUAACCGAAGCAAUACUAACAAAACUGAUCUUGGAUAUAUAUGUAAUACUAACCAAUGACUAAAUCUAAUAACCCAGCAACCAGAAACUAAAUCUAAUAACCCAGCAACCAGAAACACAGUGUUAGGGUACAAUCGAGAUGGAUUGAAAACGAAAGGAAAUGCAAAACUUACGAUGUUAGGGCACAAUCAAGAACACGGUCGUACUCCGGUCGCAAUGCUUGAAUGCUCAACAGAGAGAGUACUUCGGUCGCAAUGCUUGAAUGCUCAACAGAGAGAGUACUCCGGUCGCAAUGUGAGAAUGUUGUUGAUGCUGAGGAAAAGUGGAGUGAAGUGAGUAUUGCAUGGAGAGAAUUGCUUCAGAAUUGAAAAAUGAAAGAAGAAAAAGAAAAGAAGGGAUUAAAGUAAAGCAAAAAUAAAAAUUAAUUAUUUGUGUGUAAUUUGCAUGGGCUUAACCUUCUUAUUAUUUAAAUUUAAUUUUAAAACUUUUAACGUGGGCUUAACCUUCAAAUAUUUAAAUUUUAAUUAUUUUUAUAAUUUUAGUAGCUGCCAUUUCAACAACGCAACCAUUAUUAUUAUUUUUUUUUUGAAGUUUACGUGAGAAUAACACACGCUUUCCUCACACCUUAUUUAAUUUAUUUUAGGUUUAAUGGAUACUAUAUAGUGUCCACUUAUGGCCUUCAAUAUUUGUUUGCAGCUAAAUUAAGAUUUCUUUGUAAUGAAAUAACUUUUUUUUUACCACCAAAAGGAAUUUAGAAAAAACGAGAAAUUGAACAAUAAGAUGAACGAUGUGAUAAAGACCAAAUAAAAAUAUAUUAAGAAUAAAAUCAUUUUAGUGUUACUUAUAAAAGAAUAGUACACAUCAGAUUUCUCUGGUUACUGAUAAUAGAAUUUAUAUAAUAAAUAAAUUAUUCAUACGAGAUUACAUAAAACUAACUCAAAUUUAACCAUAGAUUGAUGACAGCUUCAUAUAUUGGAGUUUUUUUACGUGAAUUUUUUAUUAUUAUUAAGACUCUUAGGACCAAUCAAACAAUAGAACACAGUUUGAAGAGUCUUAUCAUGUACGCAACGAAGUACCAAAUAAAAUUUUGAGAUGUGUUACAACUAUACCUGGUAAAAGUGGGAUAGUCCAACCUCAUUAAACUCUUCAAGAAAAAAAUGUGAUCAUAUAGACUACUCCAUAAUUUCAACAAACACCAAUUUUCAGGUUUAGUUCCAUUCUAUAUUAUAACAUUUCAUUUUCACUUAGAAAAAAUAAAUUCACCUCCACACUUACAACUUUAUCUACUUAAACCAAUUUAAUCCAACUACGUGUUAAGAAUAUAAGUAUAAAUUUGAGUCUCAUUUAAUAAAUAUAAGAAGUUGAAUAACAAAUAACUAUGAAUAAAUAUAAAAAGUUGAAUAACAAAUAACUAAUCUUAAGUUUAGCACAAAACACAAUUAGUUCAACUAAAAACUUACAAAAAAUAUUGGAAGCAUCAAUGGAGCUUAUUGCAAUAAAAAAAAAUCUAAACAAAACAUUGUUUUGUUAAAAUGUGCAUCUAUUAGUUAAUAAGUUUAUUAUAAAACUUGUAUUGAUUUUCAUUUUCACUCAAAUUAUUUUAUUUUUUUAUAUCUUUAAUCAUGUAACGACAUGUUAUAUUCUUUUGUAGGAUAUCAUAUGAACCCGAGGGAUAAUUAAGACAAAGGUUUGGAUUUCUAAAAAUAAUAUUAAUAAUGCAAAUAAUAUUAAUAAUCUAAAUAAUAUUUAUAAAAAAAUUAUACUAGACAUUACAAACAUCUCACUUAUAUUGACAUUUCAAAUUUCAACCACCUCUAUUGAAAAAAAAAAUUAUUAAACAAGUAAAAAAAAAUACAAACAAGUACGAGAAAUUAAAACAAAAUCCAUACUAACCAUAAAAUACAUCAAAACUAAACAAGAGAAACAUAGUUAAUUUAUACCUAUUAUGGAAAAUGUUCAAGAAUAUAUUAAAAUAAUAUAUUAAAAUACAGUCUAUUAUACCAAAUAAAGUCUUACCUAUAAAGAAAGUCUAAAUUGACAGAUUUAUCAUUACCCCUCUUAAAAUAUGAAAGACAUACUUUUACAAUAAAUAAGACAUUUAUUUCAUUUAUUCUUAAUAAAUCAUCAAGUCACAUGAGUCAUAGAAGGAAAAGCAAAGCAAACUAAUAUGAUUCACACUCUUACCAUAAUAAAUUAUAAACCAAUGUAAAUAACAUUUAAUGAGGGAUAAAUUUUUUCAAUAAAUAAUAAUAUUUUUUAAUUUAUUUUUAGUUAUUUGUGAAUCUCAUUUCGAUUUGAUAUUUAAUUUGAGUGUCAUAUUGUCAUUAACCAAUAUUUAAUUGUUUUUUCUCUUAUUCUAUUAUUGUGUCAUUCCAUUUGGAGCAAUAGAGGGGCUAGUUUAGUGUAUGUGUUGGCAUUUGAUUUGUUCCUUUUCGGUAUGUUCGUACAAGGUAAAAUCGUAAAAAGGAAAAAUUAGAAAACUGUCUUGUUAGAGUAUUGUGUUAGCAUAAUAUUGAUCUCAAAAUAAGGUUAUUUUGUAUGUUAUUGUUUUAUAAAUCUCAAAACAAAUUUUGCAGGUUCAAGAAAAAGCUUUGGAAUAUGGAAAUUAAAUAUAAAUAUUUAUCAAAGAAUAGAAAAAUACUUCAAGUUAGCAUGUUCCUCAAUUGGAAUAUCGAUCUCAAAAUAAGUUUAUUUUUGUACUUCACUAUUUUAUAAAUCUCAAAAAAAAAUUGCAGGUUCAAGAAAAAGCUUCGGAAUAACAAAAUUAAAUUUAAAUAUUUAUCAAAGGAUAAAAAAAAAAUUAAAAAAAAAAUACUACGAUCAAGUUCAUUUUCUUGAAAACUUUACGAGCUCUAAAAUAAAUAAAAAAUACAACUAAUUAUUCAGAAAUUUAUGAACUUGGAAAUUUUUAAUUUUCAUUAAGAAUAAUUAUUUUUUAUGAUAUGUUAUUUGCAAUUAAUUAAUCUAGUAAAAAAUUACAAUCAAAUAACGAGACUAUUGAUAAAUUAAAAGGUAUUCGUUUAUUUUAUUUCUGUAAAUUAUAGGAAAAAUGAAUUUGAAAAUGCAUUGUCUUCUGCUAAAGAAAUUGCUUUUGAAAUAGAUACAGAGUAUAAGUUAUGUGAAAAACAUGGUAGAUCUGUUGAUAAUAUAAGUUAUGUGAAAAACAUGGUAGAUGUGUUGAUAAUGAAAUUCUAAAAUCUCCUAAAAAAUCAUUUAGAUUUUAUGACUUUCUAUACAUUCAAAGAAAACAAUUAACUCCAAAGUUGAUUUAAGAAUUCAAAAUAUAAGAAAAUAUGAAAAAUAUUUGAAGAAUAAUUUCGUGAUAUUGAUGGAUUAUAUUUAUUUUCAAAAUUUAAUAUCUUAAAAGAAAUGACAGAAUUGAAAAAUAAUAACUAAUUGACCUUCUAAAUCAUAUAAAAUAAAUAAAUUAUUUUCCAAAUAUAUAUAUAAGAGAGGGAUUACAGGUAAUAAAAUAAUAUAAAUAUUCUAGUACUACCAAUAUAAUCAAGAAAUUAAGGUGAAUGAGAAUUUAUAUUUUUUUUCUCCAAUCCAUAAAGAAAUGUUUUAAAAAAAAUCAUUAUAAAAGAUCGAUCUAUUAUAAAGUGGAUUUUAAGCUUAACUCAAUCCCAUAAAACUGGUUUAAUCCCAUAAAACUGGUUUAUAGGGUUGAGGAUUGCACCCACUUAUAUACGAUGAAAGACUCUAAUCUCUAGUCGAUGUAGAUUCCAACAUCAACCUCAAAUAAUAUUUCUUGUAAUUAAGAUCAAAACAGUAAACGAUUACAAUAUCGAUUGAUUUCGUUGAAAUGAUUUUUUUAAAACUAAAAGUUACUUAAUAUUAUCAACGAAACCCGAGGCUCACCUCUCCUUUGACCAUGUUAAUUCACAAUCUCUUUCACUAUGCCAUUAAAUGAGUUUGGAACAAGUUUUGUCUUUCUCACCGUCGUCAUGCUUCCCAAGGACCCAUUCACUUAACUCUUCGUGCGUUCCAAUGCAAACAAGUCAGGGUUUUGAUUUGCUUCCUACGAAUCCAAAAUUAGUAACUACAGAAUGUUGUUUGUUGUUGACUCUACAAAUUUAGGGUGGGAAAGAAAAGUUUAUAUCAUACUACUCCACUUCAUAUGCUACUUCAUUUGAUUUUUUUAUUGGUUGUUCUUUGAUGAAGUUUUUCAUUGCUGUUGAUGUUCUUGGUGGUUCUUUGGUCAAGGUGUCUAUUGCUACACGGUGUGUGGGUGAAUUUGUUGGUGACUAGAUUUUUUUGUUAUCAUGGGCUGGUGCAUAGUUGUACCUUUUUUUUUUCAUUGAAAAUUUAAUUUGUAUGGGUGAAAUCUAAACUAUAAAGAUGAUGAAAUUUGCUAAUUCUAGAAUACGUUGUGAUUUUGCAACUAUUUUAUUUUACUUCUACUAUGUGUGAAUUUAGUAAGGUUGAAACCAUCUUGAAAUCUUUUUUAUAUUUAUUUAAACUAUGAUUUGACUCUCGCUAUUUGUUUAUAUUUUAAUAUUAAUUAGGACUUAAUCCUCUUUAAGUUAGAGUAUGUUAAGGUUGCGACCUCUCUAGGUUAGAGUAAGCAAGGUCUUGAUCCUCUCUCUAAUUUAGAGUUAAAGUUUUCCAAUUUCCAAUAAACAACUCUUUUACGUUGUUAAGCCCACUCUAUUAACGAGAGUCCAAUCUACAUUAUUAGUUUCCACUUAGAGAGGACUUAUGAUUGUUAUAGGUUGACGUAAAUAAAAAAGUCAUUUUCAAUCCGUUCACGGUGUAUGGAACACUAUAUGUCCACAUUAAUUAUAAUGUAACGACUUCUUUUUCAAUUUUAGUCCAUCUUUGACUCAUGCUAUAGACAUUUUUCUUGUAAUUUGAUAACUUUGGAUAUUAGAAUGAGAAAUUUUUCUCGGUCAUCAUCCACUGAAUUUGAGUGUUGGAGUGACUAAUAACUCAAUUAAGGGAAACUUCAAAAUAUUAAUUCAUAAAUCACAUUUAUUAUAGAUAUAAAUGUAAAUUUGAGAAUAGGGAAUUAUGAUUGUAUUAAAAAAUAAAUAUUAUUUGUGUGUUUUUAUAACAUGAUUGAUAAAACUUACGUAACCAUUUAAAAUUAAAGCGAAAUAGGAUUAAUUGAGAAAUGUAUCGAUUAGCACAUGUAUGUUCUUUUCAACGGCUUUGGUGACCUAAUUAGAAAACGUCAAACUAUACUGGCAACCUAACUGGAAAACUUCAAACUAUACAGCCAUUCCAUUACUUGUGGAGUAAGGCAAAAAUGCCUUUGUGUUUACUUUUCUAGUAUACGUGCAAGUGUACAGGUCCACUAAUUUCGCAUAUGGUUCUUUCAUUGGCUUUUUAUUGAGUAUAGAUAUGAAAUAUAUUUGGUCCACGUCAAAAAGAAAAAGAAUUGAAAGCGAAACCAAAAAGCGAAAAAAAAAGUAGAAUUAGAAAAUUAAAUAAAUGUUGAAGUUAUUUGAUAAAAUAUAAAUAAUUAUGUUUUCUAUUUCAUUUCUCCUAUUGCAUCAUAUCACGUGACCUAUUUAUAUUCAUAUUGAUUUACUAGGAUUAAUAGUGUUGGAAAGGAAAUAUCAAUUUUGUUUCUUCUACAACUUAACAAUUAACUUAAAUGCUUGUUUGGUAUUGUUAUAAAUCUGAGACUUAGACUGAAAAGUGAAUUGUGAACUUAUGUUUAUUAUUAGAUUAAAAAGUGAGUUGUGAACUUAGGUUUAUUAUUAUAAAUUAUUUAUACUUAUUUUAUUUGUGUAGUAAGUUACGUGUGUUUUUAUUAGUUGAAUGGUGUUGGUUAUUAAUUAUGAUUUCUAUUAUUAAUACUGAUUUCACCGUUAUACCGUUAUUGUUUCAUUAAUGGUUAGUUUACUUAUUUCCUUCCAUUAGUUUCCUACAAUUGGUAUCAAGAGCUAGUCUGUUAUCAUGAACUCUACCCAAUUACUAGUCCUAUGGAAAAAAUUACAAUCAGUGGUGUGUGCAAAUGAGAGUUUUUUUUAUUAUUUAUUAUCAUGAGUUAUGGGAUGUCGUUGAGGGUGGAGUGGUUGCAUUAGCUGUUAAUGCAAUUGAGGCGCAACGAGUAGCGCAUCAUGAUGACAAUAAGGCUUUGUAUCUCAUCCAUAGGGAUGAAUGACAAGACGUUUGAGAAAAUAUAAGGAGCAACAACUGCAAGUGAUGCUUGAAUCAUUUUGUCAACCAAUUAUAAAGGGUGAUGACAAGAUCAAUAGGGUGCGUCUUCAAACCCUAAGACGCCAAUAUGAACUGUUGCAGAUGGAAACCACAUAGAUUAUUGAUGUCUAUAUAAAUAAAGUUCUUGCCUUGACAAAUCAGAUGAAAAGCAAUGGUGAAACACAUUCGGAGCAGGCAAAGGUGGAGAAGAUUUUGAGGUCUUUAACUCCCAGAUUUGAACAUGUUGUUGCCGCAAUUGAAGAGGCCAAUGACAUUUAAAAAAUGACAGUAGGGUUAUUGUCUGGUUACCUACCAGCGCAUGAGCAGCGAAUGAAUGACAAUAAUAUUGAAAAACCAAUUGAACAGGCUUUACAAGCACAAGACUCAAUUGGUAGCUCUUAUCAUAAACACGGUAGUUCACGAGGCAGAGGACGGGGACAUGGUGGUAGCUAUUCCAGCAAAGGUCGUGGUGGCUAGAAUCAUGGAGGCGCUGAGCAAAAUAACAUUGGUUUCAAUCACAUUCCAAGUUCAAAUAACUCUUGACGUGGAGAACGUGAUCGCGGAGGAUGAGGAGGCAUUUAUAAUAAAUCAAAUGUGGAGUGUUAUAACUGUCAUAAACGCAACCAUUAAGCAAAUGAGUGCAGAUCAAAAAGUGAUAAUCAUGCUGCCAAUUGUGCUCAAGAAGACAGUAAUCACGUACAAGAUGAAGAGGAUCAUGCAUAACUAAUGACAGCCACAUCAAAUGAAACUCCAAACAAUCAGACUUGGUAUUUGGAUACAGGUUGCACAAAUCAUAUGUGUGGUCAAAAGGAGUUGUUUGCAUAUUUGGAUGACUCAUUUUGCACAAAAGUGAAAUUCGGUGAUGGCAGGGUCGUUCCGGUGACUGGAAAAGGGCGAAUUCUUAUCACAUUGAAGAAUGGUGAUCACAGGUACAUAUAUGAUGUUGUCUAUGUACCUGAUAUGAAAAGUAAUUUGUUGAGUAUGUGACAACUGGCUGAGAAGGGUUAUGUGAUGUACAUAGUUGAAAAUAAAUUCUCAAUUUUUGAUAAAAAAUGUAGUUUGAUUCUUAAAACCUUUUUAUCAAAAAACCGUAUGUUUCCAGUAGAUAUUCAUAUGGGUGACUUCAAGUGCUUGAAUGCAAUAGUGAAUAAUGAAUCGUGGUUAUGGCAUUUACGCUUUGGGCACUUAAAUUUUCAGAGUUUGGAAAAUCUCUCCAAACGAAAUUUAGUGAAUAGUUUACCCCAUAUUUAUCACCCUGAUCAAUUGUGUGAGACUUGCAUUUUUGGAAAGAAUCACAGGAUACCAUUUGUUAAGGAGCCUUGGCGUGCAAAAUUUCCUUUGGAGCUUGUUCAUAUAGAUGUUUGUGGCUCAAUGAACAUAUCAUCAGUUGGAGGUAAUAAGUAUUUUUUAACCUUUAUUGAUGAUUUUUCAAGGAAAACCUGGAGUUAUCUAUUGAAAAGCAAGGAUGAGGUAUUCCACUGCUUUAAAAUAUCAUAUUUAAAGCAUUUGUUGAAAGACAGAGUGGCAGACAAAUUAAGAUGAUGCGUAGUGAUGGAGGGGGUGAGUACAAGUCUAAUGAGUUCAAGAGGCACUGUGAAGAACUUGGAUUGCAACAUAACAUAACAUGUCUCUACACACCUUAACACAAUGGAGUUGUCGAGAGAAAGAAUAGAACAAUCAUGGACAUGGCGUGGAGCAUGCAUAAAGCGAAAGGUAUGCCAAAUUAUUUUUGGGCUGAGGUCGUAACAUGUGCGGUAUAUUUGAUAAAUAGAUCACCCACUCGGAGUGUUCCUAACACAACUCCGAUUGAGGCAUGGAGCGGAUUCAAACCCAAUGUGCAACACUUGAAGGUAUUUGGGUCUAUUACUUAUGCUCAUGUCCCCAAAGCAGCAAGAUCGAAGUUGGAUGAUAAGGCAGAGAAGACCAUUUUCAUUGGAUAUAAGCAUGGGGGAUACAAAUUGUACAAUCCAAUGACAAAGAAGGUGAUUGUUAGUUGUGAUGUUACAUUUGUCGAAGAUGAGGAAUGGCAAUGGAAUGCAACAGUUGAAAUUGAUUAAAAAAAAACGAUAUAUUUACGUUUUGAACGAUGAUGUGGAAGAUGGAGUCACUCUUGAAGCACCUGCAGUUCAACCAGAAGCUGCAAUUCAACCUGAAGUUGCAAAUCCAAUUGCAACUAUGAUGGAGCGACCAAGAAGGCAGCAACGACAACCUGUACACCUUCAAGAUUGGCGAAGUAAAUCUUGAUGAUGAAGUUGAUGACAAUGGAGAUUUGGUUCACUUUGUUUUUCUUGCAGAUUCAGAACCCAUGAGACUUGCAGAUGUCAUUCAACACCCCAAAUGGCAGAAGGCUAUGAAUGAAGAAUUGAUGGCGAUUGAGAAAAACAAUAUCAUGACUCAAAUUUGUUUUAAUCCAGAUAUUCCAAUUAAGAUUUAUGUUGACAAUGUCUCUGCAAUUAAUCUUGCAGAGAAUCCAGUUUUUCAUCAAAUAAGUAGUCACAUUGAUAUUCGAUAUCACUUCCUGCGAGACCAAGUUAAGAAGAACAUGAUCAAAUUGGAAUACUACAGAUCAGAAGAUCAGAUUGCAAAUAUUUUCACUAAGCCAUUGAAGAUCAAUGCUUUCAUCAAGUUAAGAAAUCUGUUGGGUAGGAAGGUUGCUCCAAAUCAGAAUUAAGGGAGGAUGUUGGUUAUUAAUUCUGAUUUUAUUAUUAUUAAUUCUGAUUUUAUUAUGCUUAAACUAUUUUACCGUUAUUAUUGCAUUAAUGGUCAGUUAGUAUUCCUAUUUUAUAACUUCCAGUAUUUGUAAUUUUAUUAUAUAUAUUAUAUAUAUUAUUGAGUAAAUCAAAAUAUAUGAUACCAGCUCAACAGUUUUGCAAUCUUGUGCAAUUACCUUCAAUCAGUUUCUACAACAUUUUGCCUUCUCUUAUUUCCUUCAAUUAGUUCCUACAAAUGAGAAUAUAAUUAAUAUAAUUAUUUAAUAAGAAACUUAUAUACCACCUCAAGUUAUUUUGGAGUCAAAAUAUUAUAGGAAUGGUUAUCAAUGAAUGAUUUACUAAAAGUGGUAAAUUUUCUUGAGGUUUUAUGAAUGUGAAACCUAAAUAUGUAAAUUUUGAUAGUCAAAAGACUAAUCCCUUUAAGAAUUAAUAUAUUUCAAUAAAAGUGAUUGGAUAUGGUUUUAGUUUGGAGUCAACAACUUAAAGAGACUUGUGUCAAUGUGUAAUCUAUUCUAAUCCACAUAGGUUGAACUCCUAUUAAGGAUACAUAAAUUUUUAAUCUGAUCAACAAGCUAAAGAGAUUGUAUUAAAAAUAUUUCAGUAGUCUAACAGUGGUUGCGAAUUCACGUGAUAUGUGUAGCUCUCAAAGUAAAUAACUUGUUUUCCAAGCUAUCCAAAGAGAUCAAUAUACUUGUCUCCCAAGAGAUUUAUUACUACCCAUGUCAUUUAGACACAAAUAUUUAUGAUAUUGGUAAAAUUAAAAAAAAAUAACUUUACCUACAAAUAGUUAAAAUAUUUGAAAUAAGUGAAGUAAAUGAAUAAUAUAAAUUUAUUCAGAGAUUAUUUAUUAUGAUAAACCUAAUUUAUUUUAAAAGAAUAUAUGACUAAUACAUUUUUUACUUACUCAAAUAUAGUUUAAUUUAUUUUAAAAAAAAUCCAAAAGCUAAAACUUUAGAACAUAAUAUUUUAAAUGUUUUACUUUACACGUGUAAUCCUUAACUAUUUAAAUGUUAUACAAUUAUUAUAGAUAUAAUAACUAUUUUAAAGAAAAUAUUUUAUUUAUUUUAUACAUUUUUCUUACAACAACAAAAUAAAAACCAUAGAUAAAUCCCACUCUUUUAGUGUUUUUUUUUUCUUUCUCUUUUCUCAAUUUGCCAAUUUGCCGUCAUUGUUGAAGAUCUCACCCACUAAUCAAAGUCAUAUUUGAUGUGAAUGUUCUCUUCAAUUCAAAGUUUAUCUUAAUAUUAUGCUAAACUUAGACUUAGUCUAAACCUUACUGACUUGAUUUCAACUUUUCUUUAUAUUUCUUCUUUUUAUACAUAACUUUUCAAACUUUUAAUCUUACACAAAAAGCAUGUCAUUCUUCUCUGACAACAUUUUAUUUCAAUUUUUCUUGAUGGUGUGCUUCAUUUGAAAUUUCAUUUUACUUUAUAUUUCAAUUUUGCUCAUAAGUUAUGAUUGGAGUUUAUUCUAAUUUUUUCCAGUGUCUUAAUAUUUUUCCAUAGUGUGUUUGAUUUUUUAAUUUUCUAUGCAAAAAUUAGUGUUAAUAAUUGUGUCUAACUUUUCUUGUACUCUGUCCUUUAGUUUGAAUGCUUCAUCCUCUGUUCUGCUUCUAAUUUUUCUUAUAUUUUAUCCUGUGUUUUGAAUGCUUAAACUUUUACACUUGUUUUAACCUGUUUUGCUAUUAAUUGUUGUUUACUUGUUGUGAUAUAAGGUUUGCGUGAUUAGUUAGUUGAUGGCAUACAAGUAAUGAAGAACUUUUAAGUAACACAGUUAGUUAAUACUCAAUUAUUAAAAUAUUGCAAGACAUUUCUUAAAAGUGUUUUAUGUUUUAUGUAAUUGUAUUUACCUAUAAUGAAGUUGAUAGCGAAAGAAAUAUUUAAUACUUUUUUUUUCUUUUUUUUUUCUUUUGGAAGGAAUCGAGGGAUACAAACUAUAUCUUCAUAUAUGGAAAAUUAAUUUAGUUAUAUCAGUUGCUAAGUGAAGAUCAAGAUCAUUUGUUUAUUAGUGUGUACGUAUUGAUGUGUUUUGGGAUUAUUAAAAUUUGACGUGUUUGAUAAAGAGUGAUUUAUUCAUAAGUAAACUAUGUUUUGGGAUUAUUAAAUUACGUAUUGAUACUUUUAUUUUCGUGAGGGGAAUGCAUGUGCUGAUAAGUUGACUAAUUUAGGGUUCAUUCAUAGAUAAUCAUUUUAUUGGUAUAAUAGACUUCUAUCUAGUAUGUUCUUAGAAUUCUUUAUGAAUAGGUAUAGUCUACCUAUGUAUCGUUUUUGUUAACAUGUGAGUUUUGGUCUAAUCCUCCCAUAUUUUGGUAUUUUUUUUCUUUUUUUUAAUAAUAUGUUUUUCAUGUGAUGGCAGAUGAUUGUUGUUACUUGAGGUGUCAGCCUAGCUGAGAUGUCAAGUUGCAUAAUGAUGUCUAACAUGGAAAAUUUUAUAAAAAAUAAAAAAACAAAAAAAAACUAUGGUUUUUGUUAUUGAGAAAUUGUUUUUAAGAAAGUGUUGAUUACAAAUUACUAUUUUUUUUAAAAAAAAAUUGUUUUGAACAUCGUAACAUCUUUUUAAUGAAAAAUAUUUAUUGCAUAUAGGGGCUUUUAACAAGUUUGGAAUUGAGUGGAAAUUGGUGUUGGUUUAUGUUGCAAGUUGAUGGUUGAAUCAUAUUCAUAGAUAGAGUUGGUACUUUUUAAUAAUGUAAUUUAGUAUAUUAUUGAUAUUUUAAAAUGAUAAAGAGUGUGUGUAUAAUCUCAAUAAUAUAUGAUUUAAAUGUAUUAAAAAUUGAACUUUAAACAUAAAUCAACUUUAAAAAAUCGACUCAUAAGUUAAGGUUUGCACUUACUUAUAUAUUAUGAAAUGUUUUUAUCUUUGGUCGAUGUAGGAUUUUCAACAUUUCCCUUCACGUCAAGAUCUAUCAAUUCGUGUGUGAAACUAUAUAUUUAUAGGUGGUCAGAUAGCAACCGACCUUAUAAGUCUAACAAACUCUCAUUAGGAUAAACUGUAAAUGACUCUAAUACCAUAUUAAGAAGUGAAUUUUAAGCUUAAUUCAAUUUUAUAAAAUCAAUUCAUAAGGUAAUAUUUACACUCACUUAUAUAAUAUGAAAUGUUUUUAUUUCUAGUCGAUCUGAAAUCUCGAACAAAAUGUGAAAAUAUUCAAUUUUACAAGUAUGAUUAUUAUAAUUAUUAAAUAGGAGAGAUAUGAUUAUUAAGAUCUCAUUACUUGUAUUAUAAAAAAAACCCACGAACUAAAUUUUGUAUUGAUAAAAACUUGAGGAUUGUGGUUGAAAAGGCAGAACAAUUGUAAGAAUUAUCUUUUCAAGCAUAAUACAAAGUAUUUCUUUGUAAUUGAUAAAAAUUUAAACUGACACAUCAAAUAUUUAAAUUAUAUUAUUGAAAAUGGGUUCAUAGAUGAUUUAAAGAAGUAUAUGGUACAAGUUGAAAAUUUAAGAGGUUUUAAAGCAAUAAUAAUCAUAAAAUUUGGAGGAAUGACGUCCAUUCAAAAGUGAUAGGAUGAAAAAAGAAAGACAUGUAUGUUGUUUUAAUAGACUUCCACCAACUAAAUAUUUAAAUAUCUCAUCUCAAAAUUCUAUAACAGAGAAUAAGAUUAACAAUUUAGAAAAGAUUUUUAAAAAUCUUUUAUCUUUUCUUUAGAAAACAUUUUUAAAAAUCUUUUAUCUUUUCUUUAGAAAACAUUUUUAAAAAUCUUUUAUCUUUUCUUUAAACAUGAUGAGUGGUAAUUGUUCUUGCCAACAAUGUGGAAUCACAUCUUCAAGGUAGUCUCCGAACAAUCUUUCGGUAUUGUAGUCCUUGAGUGCUUGAAGAUCACCAAGUGAUGAGGGGAGCUCCACUCGUUGACAAGACUUCGACAAUCAAAUCAGUGAGAACAUUAAAUAUUUCAAUGUAGUAUGUAUUGCAUAGAAUAAUACUUGUCUUUGUUUGGGGACUCAUGACCCUUAUAUAGGACUCGUAGAUCCUUUUUUAGGAGUUUGUAAUCAGACACUUCCUUUGAACUUUUAGUUACACGAUUCGAUUUGUUGGACUCGAUCCGACUGACCCGAAAACGUCUAUUGAGUCCGAUCCAUUGGACCGAAAACACCCGAUCCACAUUAUCGGGUUCUACCCCGAUCUUGACUGAACGAUACAGUAAUAUACAAAUUGUAAAUAAAAAAUAAAAAAUAUAGUAAUUACAUUUAAUCAUCUAUAAAAAAAUUUAAUACUAAUAUGAUAUUUUAAAAAGAUAUUUUUUUCGGAAACACUUGAUGAUGAUGGAAGGAUUGAAAUUAUUCUAAUAGUAAUGUUUAAACACAGUAAAAAAAAGUCAAGUGAUAUGAUAAUGAUUGAAAAUUUACUUUUAAAUACAAUUAUCAUUUUUUACUAUAAGAUCAAUUUUUUUAAUGUGAUUACAUAUAUUUUAUAAAUGAUGUGGAUUUUUAUGGCCUGUACACAUCAUUAAUGAGUGAGAUAAUAUGUUUAAUCAUUUGCCAUUUAAUUUUUAGUACUUUCAAUGAACAAAUGAGAUUCAUAUGUAAGAAAUUUAGCAUCGAUUAUGACUCAUAGGACACAAAAUGUAUUUCAUUGAGUUGAGUGUGGUAUUUCAAUACCUAAUUAAUAUUUUUUUUGUCAUUAGUAAUUUGGUAUUGAUUUAAAAUCGAAAUUGUUGUUGACUAUUAAGAUUUAUUUGCUUUUGUAACUAUUAUGUUUUCCUCUUAUAAAUUUUGUUUAUAUUUUAGAUUAUAAAGUUGUUGUAAAACAUUGCAAAAACUUUUCUUAGUGGUUUUUAUCUAGUACAAUCAUUUAUAUUUUAGUGGACUUUUAUUGAAUUGAAUACACCCUACUCCAAUAGCCUAUGACGAGUCACACAAAUUUCAUUUGACAACAAAGAAUCUAUAGGGACAAAAAGUGGAACUUAUAGAGAAUCUUUAAAUUCAAAUUGAUAUUUUGAAUAAGUGAACAAAAAGUUAAACCCAUUUAUUAUAGCCAUUGUUUCCAAAAAUAUUUAAUAGUGAAUAUUUGAGCAAAUAAUGUAGAAUGUAUUAUAGCUAAAGACAAACAUCAUAUUAUUGUUUGGUACACGGAAAAUGUUAUAUUAUCACAAUUAUCGGUAUAUAUUAAUAAAUUUAUUCUCAAAAUUUUAACUAAUAAAUUUAUUCCACCAUUUUAUACAUGGACUAUAAUGAUAGAUUGUUAAAUGCCCUUAAAAUUUUACAUCACACUUUAUAUAGUAAAAAUAUUAUCAUGAUAUCUAUUACAAUGAAAGAAUGACAUAAACAAAAAUAUUUUGGUAUUAAAAUAUUAACGAAAAAUAAUAAAUUAUAUGGUAUUAUUAGUAAAGUAAGGAACUAAAAAUUAUUGAAGUUUUUGUGGAAUAAACUCAUACGGAAUAAUAUGUCAAAAAAAUUAAUUGAACUUAACAAUUGUUUUUUAUUAGCUAUAAGAAUGAAAUUAAUAAAGAUAUAUAUUUUAGAGAUAUAUUAACCUUAUACAAAAUCAUCAUUAUCAAACUUUCAUCUUGCAUUAAGUCUAUAAUGAUAUUAUACUCAAAACAGAUUAAUCAUACUAAAAACCACAACAUAAUCUAUUAAUCCAAACUUCUUAAAAAUGAUGUUCUUCUCAUAUUGAAUAUAUAGUUUUUAUUGAAGUUAAUAGUAACUCAUCAUGAUUAAAAAACAUGUUGUUUAGAGUUAAUUUUGUUUGAUAGACAAUUAUAUCAUCUAACUAUAUUACUUUAUUGUGUAAUUCCACUAUAUUGAUAUAAGUCUCAAUUUGAUGUACGGGAAAAGAUAGAAAAGAAAGAAAUGGGAGGAGUACAUUUGUUUAGUUAAUUAAAAAAGCUAAAUAAAUAUGUUUAAAAAAUUGUGAAACUGUGAAGUAUAUGAUAAGAAAAUCUGAACUUGUAAAUAUUUAUAACUAAAGUCUGCAAAAAGUAUAAAUAUUUUAAUUAUUUAUUUGUUAAAAGAGUGAAUAUGGAUAUCAUGCUAUUUAGUUAGCGAAUGUUCACUGUCCAUUAUUAAUUAUUUUUAUUUGAAUAUAUUUUUUAAUUAAGCAAUUGAGUAAAAUUAUUAACGAGAAAACAUUAAAAAUUGAUGAAUUAUUUAUAACUUAAUUUUAUAAAUGUAUAGUUUUUAUUUAGACUUGUGGAGCUAAAAUUAUCUUCAAAAGAUUAAUUUUAUUUAAAGUUAUAUUGUGAAGAAUUUUUUUAGAAUGAUUAAUUUUUUUCUAAUAAUAGCUUAUGAAACAUUUUUAUUAUAAUUAUACAUUAAUAUCAAUAUUUUAUCUUAUUUUAUUUUAUGUUUUAAAGAAUAAUUUUUAAAUAAUAUUAUUUUCUUAAAAGAAGGAUCCACGUGUAUCUAUUGAAAUAGGCAAGUAUUUUAAAUAACAUUAUAUUUUUUUAGUAGAAAUACUUCUUCAUAAGAUUUAUUUAUAAAUAACAAGUCACUUUAGAUAUGGUUAUCUCCUACUUCCAUAUCAAUGUAGACUCUUAUAUGUGUGACGUCAUUUAUUAUGAACUUGAAAUGUACUAUCUUAAGUGUAUCCUAUAGAAAACACCAUCACAUUCAAGUCAAAUAAUAUAAAAAUUAAGUAAUAAAUGAAUAAUACAUAUUUUGAGAUCUUCACCAUUAACUUUUAUUUAUAUCGAGUAUCGGUGGUUAAAUAUGACUUUAGUAUUGAGUUAAGAUUUUAAUAAUAAAAAUAUAGUGUAAGGGAAAAUAAUGUUAAUAUUUUAAUACUUUUGCGUGUUGAAAGAAAGAAAACAAAUCUAAAAAUAACUAUAGUUUAAACUUCGUUAAUUUUAAUAAAAAGCAUCUUCAAAACCGUAUUUAGUAGUAUAUAUAAUUGUAUUAUUUCCAGUUAUUUAUUUUAUUUUGUAGAUGCUUUCUAAAUUUAAAGGAAGAACCCAGACUUUAACCAAAACAUAUUUCUAUCCAAAAUAAAUGUAUGGUUAUGGGAAAAAAUAGCCUACAAUUGAUCAUACAAUCCAUUCAUUAAAUAAUGGAGUACAAUACAAUGUGCUAUAAUGAACCCAACAACGUCUUGUUCUAGGUUUUGUAUAUUCAGUCAUUGAUUUCUAAAUUUUUAUAUGAAUGUUUACAAUAAUAUUUCAAGGUCAAGUUAGUACUUCCUCCGAAUAAAGAAUAUAAAGUAAAAAAAGUUAAGAAUUCAUUAAUUAAUACUUAGUUUGAAGAAAAAACAUAUAAUAAAAAGUUAUAUAUUUAUUAUUUUCAAUUCACCUAUUUAUAACGGUAUUCUUCUAGUUAAGAAGAAUGUCUUCCAACUAAAGAUUUAGUUUAGUCAAAAAUAGUUAUUUCCAACUAAAUUGUAGUUCUGUCUCAUACCAUCAUCUUCCUCUUUUAUUUAAUAAUUAUUUCUCUAUUAUAGUAUUUGUCUCAUUCUUAGAUACAUUCUUAGAUUAAUUACAAUCUCGCAUAUUCAGUUAAUGUUUGUCACUUUCAAUAAAAAAAAUAAAAAAAAAUUUCAUUAUUUUAAUAAAUAGAUCAAUAUCAUAACCGUUUUCAUCUAUUAUUGGAAUCGACUUAUGAUCUCACAGUUCUCAAAUUCCAACAUAAUCCAAUGAGACUAAUAAGAUCAUGAAGUAAUUAAUUAUAGGAUGUAUCUUAAAUUUUGACUGAAAUCCAUACCAUUGAGGUUGAUGCAAAAGUUCACAUAUACUAUUAUACCUCAUCUAUAGAAAUGAUUAAUUGAGAUCCAAAUAGACUUAGAUGCGCUUAAUCAUAAUUUAUAUAUUGUUUACUUUACUCUACUUAUUAAUUAUAUUAUUACACCCUUAAUUUCACUUUAGAGAUACUUGCAUCAUUCAGUGGUGAGAUGUUGGGAUAUCGAGUGUGAUAUCGACACCUCAUAUAUUCCGGUACAAUGCAUUUGAGGAAAAUAAAAACCGAUCAUAUGUAUAAUUUUUUGUUUUCUUCCAUGCUUGGUUGUCACUUAGGUCAAUUCAGCACGAACCAACAUACUCCAUUUCAUCUUCUCAUAAAUCGAAGACAAUAAUUCCAGGAAAUGAAAAUGGGGUAUGUUAAUAAAGAAAAAAAAUAAGAGAAAAUUGCACAUAAAUAAAAUUCAAUUGAGUUCUUAAAUUACAAUGAUAUUGAAAAGAGUAGAAAUAUAUAGUUAAUUUGGUGAAUAAACAAAGUAGGUUGGAAAAAUGCGAUGAAAGCAUGAUAAGAUAGUUGUGGUUGUCUGUGGAAAUGCGAAACCCCUCUUUCUUGUUUUGUUUUGCACAUAUUUUACAAGCAAAUCCGACAAACAGAAAGAAUUGCAUAAGUCCAAACCUACUGGUAUUAUUUAGACGUUAAUAAUUGCCAGCUUUUGCCAGCUCCUACUUCAUCAUUAAAAUAUAAUUUAAAAAAAUAGACACAGAAACAGUAGUGAAGACUUUGCUCCUCAGUCCCAAAAAAUGACAACGGGAUACACUGGAUUUCCACACUUUCUCACAUGCUCGUCUUUUUCAUUUUCUGCCACGUGUAUUGUAAUGUAGCAAGGUCCCUCUGGUUCCAGCUGCGCAAACCUCACUCUCUUCCUUCAUCAUCAUCAUCAUCAUCAUCUUCUACCACUACAGCCACAAUAAACAUGCAUACCGUAUUUUUUCUUUUCAAAUAUUAUACGUAUACUUUUUGAUAUUUUAUUUCCGUUUGAGUUGAGUAGUUGUUCUCCAUUUGCAACGGUUACCUAAUAUUAUUCUCUGUUUCCAUCUACCCCAUUAUCAACUACGUAUUGCAUAUAAAACAUUAGCGAUAAUGAAAGAAAGGGUCAUGUAUCUGCUUUCUCAAUCAUUAAUGCAAAAUUACCGAAUUUAAUGAUGUUACCAUUACGAAUGGAGAAAGGGUCAAACCAAAAAUAAAAAGUGCACCUUUUCAACUGGCGGACAAAGGACGAGACACGAGUGGCAUCAACGCGGGUAAAGCACCCCGCGUUUUACUACCAGACGGAACCCAUCAACGGGCUAUAAAGGACACACGUGUGAGUUCUAGAUCAACGGUCAAAACACAAGGGCACUCUAGUAAUAUCGUUAAACGACUUUAUGAGUUGUUGAAAAGUUAUGGUCUUUCCGAGGAAAGAAAAAGUAAAAAAUAAUAAUAAAAAUGGAUUUUUUUUCAUUAUUUUCAUAGUACACAUUUUGUUUUCAUUAAUGGAAUUUUAAAUUGUAUUAUUUUUUGUUGUUAGAACAAACAGAGGGCUAGAGUGAAAAUAAAUUUAACGGGGAGAGGAGAGAGAGUGGGAAGCAUAUGAGAAUAGGAAGAUGGGUGGAAAAAACGCCGUACAGAGGGGUGGCGGAUGACAGCGACUGCUCACUGACCCACAUAACUGACACGUGUCCUGACGCAAAAGGGUGUGGAGGUAAUAUUGAGCAAGCAUAAUGGAGAAAAAGGCAAAGAAGGAACACACAUUAACAAAAAUCAAUUGGGCAGAAGAUCCACAUAUGCCAGCUAAUAUUUUGCACAUUUACAGAAAGAGAGGAAAAAUUGUAGUAGAGGCGGAAGAAAGUUGAAAUGAAGAUAAAAUAAAAAAAAAGAAUAAAGAAUAAAAAAGUGGGAAUGGAGAGUUAAGUGUUGACCCAUUAUUAUUACUCACAUCACACCGGCCUGACCUAGUCCAGGGUAUUAGGGAAGAUGAGGAAUGGGGACAGGCAGCAUAGAAGGAGUAGAUGCACAUCACAACAUAUAAAAAUAUUAAUAUAUAUAGUAAGGUUGGGAAAAUAAUGAGAUAAAAAAAAUUGUGUGUGAGCAUAUAGAAGGAAAUUAAAUUAGGACAUUGGAGUUGGAGGAAUCUUUGAGCAUUAUUGAUGCAUUAAUCGCCACUCCUUCAACGGUUCAUAUCUUACCUCUUUUUAUAUAUUCUGUUCCCUUAUCAUCUUCCACUGCUCAACUCUCUCUCUCUCUCUCUCUAACACAAGCUUCCGUUUUUCUGUUUCUCUUCUCUCUACUCAGAACAUGGGUUCUUCUGCAGUACAAUUGUUUCUCAUCUUGGGGCUUCUGGCUACUUCUUGCAUAGCACAAGCCCCAGGUGGCGCACCCACGCAGCCUCCCACAACCACCCCACCACCACCGCCCGCAGCAGCACCAGUACCUGCACCCACUGCACCCGCAACUCCACCACCAUCUUCACCACCACCUGCACCCACACCCGCACCCACACCAACUGCUCCCACUCCUGCUCCAGCUUCUUCUCCUUCAUCUGCUGCAUCUCCCUCAGCUGAGUCACCAGGCUCUCCUACAUCUCCCCCAGCACCACCGGCCCCCUCAUCUGCACCUUCACCCUCAGUCAGCGAACCACCACCCUCACCCUCCUCCGCAUUCUCCGUUGGCAAGGCCUUCGUUGCCGGGUCUGCGCUCGCGGGAACCUUCGUAGCCAUGGUCUUGGCUUGAAGACAGACCUGACGGUUGGGAUUCGUCCACGUGGAGGCUCUUGGGCCCUUGAUCUUGUUUUACAGCGACGGACGGACGGACGGGAUCUGUUUCAUUUAUUUUAUCCUCUGGUCUUGUUGAGUAGCGGUUUUCUUUUUCUCUCUUUGGGGUUUUAUGUGUUAGUUUUGUUCGUUCGUGGUUGAUGUGUUUGUUGAUUCGAUAUCUGGGAGGGUUGGGUGUUGAUGAUGAUGAUGAUGAUGAUGAUGAUGGUGAUGGUAUUCAUGAUUAUGAUGAUUAUUUUGUGAUUCAUUGUUCUGGUGUUCACACGUGUACGUAGAUGACCUUGAUGAUUUCAUUGUACAUCUAAUAAUUGAAAGAAUAAAACAGUUUGUCAUUCUUUUUACUUACAAUCUUGUUCC
This 77202-nucleotide long non-coding RNA is filed under the name Phaseolus vulgaris (common bean). RNAcentral's name for it is "long non-coding RNA (PVUL_LNC004533)". Lineage: Eukaryota; Viridiplantae; Streptophyta; Magnoliopsida; Fabales; Fabaceae. The record is from RNAcentral.